RNAcentral lists this long non-coding RNA (47743 nucleotides) under Medicago truncatula (barrel medic). RNAcentral's name for it is "long non-coding RNA (MTRU_LNC001595)". The record is from RNAcentral. Lineage: Eukaryota; Viridiplantae; Streptophyta; Magnoliopsida; Fabales; Fabaceae.
CUUUUUGCUCUCUUUGCUAUCCCUCGGGGUCUUGCCAAUUAUGACAAGCCUCCGGUUUACCAACCACCGGUCUACAAGCCCCCUGUUGAGAAGCCACCUGUGUAUAAGCCACCGGUAGAAAAACCUCCAGUUUACAAACCACCGGUAGAGAAACCACCAGUGUACAAGCCACCAGUUGAGAAGCCCCCCGUCUACAAACCUCCUGUAGAGAAGCCUCCUGUUUACAAGCCACCAGUAGAGAAACCACCAGUGUACAAGCCACCAGUUGAAAAGCCUCCGGUCUACAAACCACCUGUAGAGAAGCCACCUGUUUACAAGCCACCUGUAGAGAAACCACCAGUGUACAAGCCACCAGUUGAGAAGCCUCCGGUCUACAAACCACCUGUAGAGAAGCCACCUGUUUAUAAGCCACCUGUAGAGAAACCACCAGUGUACAAGCCACCAGUUGAGAAGCCCCCGGUCUACAAACCCCCUGUAGAGAAGCCUCCUGUCUACAAGCCACCAGUAGAGAAACCGCCAGUGUACAAGCCACCAGUUGAGAAACCCCCGGUCUACAAACCCCCUGUUGAGAAGCCUCCUAUCUACAAGCCACCAGUAGAGAAACCACCAGUGUACAAGCCACCUGUUGAGAAGCCUCCAGUUUAUAAGCCACCAGUUGAGAAGCCACCUGUGUACAAGCCCCCAGUCGAGAAACCCCCGGUCUACAAACCUCCUGUAGAGAAGCCUCCAGUUUACAAGCCACCGGUGUACAAACCUCCAGUUUACAAGCCACCAGUAGAGAAGCCACCUGUGUACAAGCCUCCGGUCUACAAACCCCCAGUUGAGAAACCUCCAGUUUACAAGCCACCGGUUUACAAGCCUCCAGUCGAGAAGCCACCAGUUUACGGACCACCUCACCACCCAUAGUACCCUCCCGUAGUUGGCACUACUCGUUUUUAAAGCAUGCUUUUAAGUAAAUAAGAGAUAUAUAAACUUUCCAAAGCAAGGAUCAUAUAUUCUUGGAAAUCUUCAAUUCAAUCUUAUGUUUACAAAUGCUAUUGCCAAGACAAGAGUGUGAAAGAAAAUGGUGCCAUUUGUACUUCAAAUUAUGAAUAAGAACGUUAUGAUUUAGUACUUCUUAUUUUGUGUUUGUUGACUAAAUUUGACAGAGUAUACUUUACUUGUUCCCUAUCAUACCAGUAAGGUGCAUGAAAGUUCAGUCUUGAACGGUGGAAAUAAAUAAUAAUUAAUUAAUGUUUGAAUCUCGAAUUUACUAAAUUAACGAACUUGUAAUUUCAUUGGAAUAUACUUGACUCAGUGGUAGCUUUAGUUUCAACUUGGAAAAUGUCCGUGAUAUGACAAUUUUUCCAAAACAAGUUUAGGUUAAGAUUUUUAUUUUUUAUUUUUGACAUAAUAUACGUUAAGAUUCUUGUGUACUAAUAGAAACUGAAAAAUCAUUUUGGUGCUUAAAGUUUAAUGAGUUGGACAAAUUAUUCACUCAAAUAUGGAAAUGAUAAUGUAGUCUCUUCAAUUAUAGAAUGCCAUUUAAUUUAGUUACCUUUUCAAAAUUAGCAUCACAAUUCGCAAGGUUUUAUAUUUGUGUUGAUGCAUCAGUUAAGAUAAGGAUCACGAAAAUUAGGUUUUUGACUUGGUUUUGAUUAGGGGUGUUUGCGGUGCGUUUUGGUUCGGUUUUGAGCAUAAAAGUCAUCUAAACCUCAAGAUAAAAAAGCAUGCGGUUUGGUUUGAUUCAGUUGAUUUUUAUAUAGUCAUCCAAACAAAACCAAACCAAACCAAUGCGGUUUGGAUUGGUUCGGUUUGUACGGUUUAUCGCGAGAUGAAAAAAUAUUACAUUAACUCUAAUAUUGCCAACUUGUUACAAAAUAAACAUAGGACAUUUUAUUUUGUUGUUUAUAUGAUAAAAUAUUAGGUAAAACUUAUAUCAAAAUAGGUAAAAUUAAGAAGAAACAUAAGCAUGAAACAAAUUAUUGAGAAGUAAAAGAAACAAAUUCAUCACUGAAAAUGAAUUGAAAGAGAUGGAAAGGAAUUAGAAUCGAACCAGAUGGUGCAACAAUGGAAAAAUCUAAUCAAAUGAGAUUAUUCUUGAGCUAUGUAAUUGGGCUAGUACAUGUUUAAGUAAUAUUCAUUAUUCUUGCGGUUUGGUUUGGUACUUGAGAUGCAAACCGCAAACCAAACCGAACCGCGCGGUUCAGUGUAAAAGUCAUCCGAGUUCAUUCGAACCAAGUGCAGUUUUUUGCGGUUUCGGUUUGGAUUGGUUUGGUUUGCGGUUUUUCUAUUGGGUUCGUUCGGUUUUGAACACCCCUAGUUUUGAUCGAUGUUUCCUGAAGAUAUGUUUUGGUAAUUGAACUAAAUAAACUGUCUUACAUUCUUCAAUUAAUGAGAUUAAAUUUCCUUUUUACAAAUAUCAAUGAUUAAUGUCAAGGACUAAAAUGAUGAUUAGUGUCGCGCCAUUUUUCGGAGGUCAAGGCCAUUUGAUUAGCUUUUGACUCACUUUUUAUCUCACGACUGAACAAAAAAUUUUUUAAAGGGGAAAAAGUUUCAAACCACCCAUUUUGAAAAGAUUUAGGGUUCAUGGGUUGGUUAUAUUUAGGGAAGGUAUUAGCACCCUAAAUAUUCGUAGUACUCUAUGAGUACCUCUUGAUUUUAUUUAACUUUUUGUGCUUAAACUUGCUUGCUUUUGAAGAGAUGAAAAUAGAAUUGAAAGAUGAGUUGAAACGAAAAAGAAAAUUGAUUUUAAUUGAAAAGAAAAAAGAAAAUUGUUUUUUAGUUGAUUUGGAAGGACAAGGUCCUCUGCCUACGUACCCGUGAGGGAUCAAAACCUCGUAGUUCGGGGUAGAAAUUGACGUUUGAUUGGUUUUAUAUUUUUUAUUAGUUUUUGAAAAAAGGUUUGAAAUAAAAAGCCAAGUGGCAAAUGAGAAUUGAUUUGUGUUUUUUGGAUUGAAGGAAAUAGACUUGAAGUAGAAUUAAAAUUGAUUUGAGAUUUGAUUAAGAAAGAAAAUAGAAAUAGCGAUCACUUCAUUGAAAGUCAAGGUUUGUUAUAAAAAUAUUUUUUUGUGAUUUUUUGAUAUUUGGAUGUUUUUGCCGUUUUUGAAUAAUGAAUGAAAAUUAAACUAACAGAGCAAUGAAAAUAAAAGUGCGUGGGCGUGAAGAAAAGAUUUUGGUUUAUGUUAGUUCGACAAUAUAAAUAGUAUUUAAUAUAUGUUGUGUUCACUUUGGAUAUUAUCGGACAAAAUUUUGACAAUAAUAAAAAUAAUAAUAGUAAAAUAGAAUAAAAAAUAGAAAGACUAAAGUGAAUCAAAAUGAGAUAAAAAGAUAAAUAUUUAAAACGGAUUUAAAGUUAAUAAAAGAUGGAAACUAAAAUUAAAUGAAAUUUGAAAAUUGAGAGAAGAGGGUCCGACUUGGAACCAAAUAUGAGGUAUUUUAAAAUACCUUCCUAUCGAAAUUUUGUUCGAAAGGCUGAGACCGGUCGGAGUUAAAUGACACGUGUCAGUGCUGCCUUAGGUCAAAAAUUGGGGUAUGACAAUUAGCUCAAUAAUUAAUUAUUGUGAUUUCUUCAUUUUAUAUUUAUAUUUAAGAAUAAAAAAAAAAAAAUGACGAUAUCAACUUUGACACAUUACAUAUUCAAUCAAUGUUGACUUGACCAUCAAUGCUACAUAUCCGGAUGUAAGAGUAGUUCGACGAGUUUAUUUUUGUCACUUUUGUUGAUAUUUUGUUGGUUUAUGCUAUUAACUUGCAUCUAGUAAACUUGUUCAUAGCUUCAUCAUUUUCAGUUUUAGUGACAUGAUAUUUGUGUUGUAUUCAAUGUGAUUUACCGCGCGAUAUGAAUAAUAUAUAUUUUUAGUCAAAAUUAAUCAUGUCGGACCUGAGAUCUUUGGUUUGAUGGCGUUGAACGACCUUUGAGUAAGACAAUGUUAAACCAAAAUGAGUUUUAUACAAUGCCUCUGAAGUUUUGAUAAUAACAAAGUAUAAAAAGAACAAUUGAAUAUGCCAAUGUUGUUCAAGUAUGCUCGACCAUAUAUUAAAAUUCAAAGUAUUAAAUCAAGUUUUGAUUCUGAAAGAACAAGAUUAUGAACAUAUACAAGAGCAUCUGCAACUUAUGAGAAGCUGGAAAUUUGGAUCAGACUCUGAAUAAGUAAGACUGUGAAAGUCGGGAGUGUAACACCCUGAACCCCACAUACUAUUUUUAAAAGUAAUAAUUCAACAUUUAAAUAAACAUAUCAAGAUGUUACUCUUCAUUUUCAACACAUAACAAGUCUCCAUCUUAAAAUAUCAACUCACAGCGGAAAUAAGUCUCAACAACACAAAUGUCAUACAUCAUAUCUCAGAAUAAGUACAUCAUCAAAAUAAACUCAAGGUUCCUCAAACAUAAUAUGAUAACAUAAAUAAAAUCCCAACAUCCUAAUCAGAGAACCACUAGACAAGACUCCAAAAUCAAAGCGGUAAAAGAUGAGUAGGCUGCAAGCCGUCCUCGGAAACUCAUGGUAACUUUGCGUCCUCAACCUGCAAGUCUCCACCACAAGGGCGUAGGCGACCAUUUGCCAAACGUAGGGUAAGAUAUAAAUUUAACAUAGAGGAAAUAUGAACACAUAUAUAGUAUUAGGAUCGCAACAUCAUAUACAAGUAUUCAUCUUAAGCAAUACCAUAUUAACAUGCAUUCUCAUUGAUUGGUAAAAUAUACACAACAAAUCUCAAAUCAUCAUCACAAGAAUAUAAAAAAGUAAACACAUCAUUGAUUAAUCAUCCAAUGGAAUACAUAGGAUUCACACAUUAUCACUUUCAUUAAAUCACACAUUUUCCAUAAAAUACACAUAGUCAUGUAUGCAUCUUUCACAUAGAUUCACAUAGUCAAGUACUCAUCUUCUACAUAGACUCUCAUGUACGAAAUGUUCCUACUCGACUUUAUAUGCAUGUGGUACUGUUUUCGAUAUCAGAGGUAUUUUCUGAGUGAUUUCACCGUCACUUGGACUGACCAUGAAUGCAUGAACAUCUCAUCAUGACUCGACAAUGCAUAAUUCAUAUAACUCGACAAUUUACAUCAACAACAUCAUCACAUCGUAUAUUAAUUCAUCGUCGCUAUAUCAUCAUCAUCAUCAUCAUCAUCAUCAUCAUCAUUUUCAAUGUCAUUAUAUCAUCAUCAUCAUCAUCAUAUCAACAUCUAUAUAUAGUUCAAAUCAUCAUGUCAAACCAUAUCAAUAUGUAUCCACCUCGUCUCGCAAUCACAUUCACAGUCAUCAUCAUUAUAUAUUCAUAAGACAUUAUUCUACAUCAUCAAGUAUACUUCGUUAAUCAUCUAACAAGUUCACAGUCAUUUCAUGAUUCAAUUAUAAUUAAAUCACAAGUUUAUUUCUAACCAUUUCAAUUGCUAAGUUUACUUCCAUCAUAAGCUAGGUUAAUUACUCUUACACAUCAAAAUUAUACUUCUAUUAAUCAAGUUUAGAGGUUUGUGACAUAUUCACAUGCAUUGGAUACCUUAAAAUACCAAAAAUAUGAGUUUCCCACUAUAGGGAGGGUUGCACGGUAGUGCCAUCCAGGUGCACAGUCGUGCUCAUCAUGCAGGUAGGGAAAAGCUAUAAUUUUUGCGUUUUGCUCAGGAAGAACCCCUUUCAACACCAUUUUUCGAUCCAAUUCACACCAAACUAGACCCAAAUCAUAAAACUAAUGUUGUCUAAUCAAUUACACAUUAAUUUUACCUUAACUAACUUUAUUAUACUCAUUAUUAUCGUCAAUUAACAUGAACUUCAAUUGUUUUAAACUUAUCACUUCAAACCCAUUUUUAACAUGGUAAUUCAAACCCCAAACAUAGUAACAACCAAAUCAACAUCCCUUAUUCAAAAUGAACACAAAAAAAUUCAUCAAUUCACAUUAUAAACAUCAACUCAACAAUUAUCAACAAUUAUCAUGAAUUUCACCAAUUUCACAUAAAACUCAAAAACCCUAAUUCACCAUAAUCAAACAUUGAUUUUAACACAACUGUUAGGUUUGUAGUCUUGACAUGUUGGUGCGACAUCAUAGCGUGCCUUGUUCCGAUUUCUUGGAGAUUGUAUUUAAAUGUGAAAUCGCAGAAGAAAACUAAACGCAUCACAACUAAGAAAAGGUAGAAUAAAACCUUUCUACAAACAAAGCGCACAUCACUUGAAAGCAAAAUAAAUACGCAACUAAAUUUCAAAAAAGAUAUGCAUAAAUUAUCAUAGAAUAAGGCACCAAGUAACACGUUCUUACGUCUCAGAUUACCAAAUGGCUCUCCGAAAAAUAACCAGAGUAUGAUAAAAUUACAGAUUUCCCAAAACAAAAGGAACAUAAACUAAAAUACAAAGCACGAAAACAAAGAAGACACAACAACAUAACUCUUCAUCCACUAACUUUCCAUCAACCAAAAUCUUGGAGGGGUCCAGCUCGCUCACAUUAUCAUCAGGGUUAAAAUGCAGAACUUGCGCCCUAGUAUGCUCAAAGCCAUUGUCAAAAUAUAAGGCAAGAUCCCCCUUGCCAUCCUCAACGACGAAUUGAGCUUUGGCGAGAUCCCCUUACAACUAGACGACCUUCUUCUUCCAUGAAUCUCUCUCCAGCUCAACAACUUCUUUUUCAUCCUUCAUAUCUUUGGUCGUCUUCUCUGCAGUCUUCUUAUCCUCCAAGGCUUCCUUCAACCUACUUUCAAGACCCGUUGCUUUAUGCUUCCACUUCUCCACAUCUUCAUGAGCGUCUUUAUACUUUGCCUCUAAAGCACCAUGUUUCUUCUCCAUCACUUUUCCUAAUAAAAGGACCCGGAGCACUAAUAUUCUUGUAUCCAUUACUAGCUCGCCAAAUUUGCUUUUAACGCCAGCAUCAACGUCAACCUUAGACAGUGGCACUUUAUCCUCCAUGUAGCUACGAUAAACGCAUGACUUAAAAGUUGAAAACCCACUAACAUUACUAGAAUUUAAGUAAAAUCUCAUCAUCAAAUUAAACUCUCAUACCUACGAAAGUCGAAAUCUUUAUGCCAAAAAGAGUCAGCCACCUGAACAUUCAGAGAAAUGGUUCCCGCCACCCCGCUAGCAUAAUCAUCAUCCUUCCGACUGGCAACAAAUGUCCGCUUCGAGUCGCCCUUCCCAGUCCUCAUCUUCUUGCGUCUGGGCGAGUCAGUUUGCUCAGCCAGUACCCCAUUGCCUGCCGUCUCCAUGUUAUCAAUGUCCAUAUCCGAAUGUAACAUCCUAAAAUUUUAAGUCUAUAUUCAAAUGUAGUUAAAAAUAUAAAACAUAAUAGUGUAAUUAUUUUAAAAUACGCGAAGAUAAAAAUAAAGACAAAUAAAUAUGAUAUAAUUUCUUAUUAAUAAUUAAAUUUUAUUGGAUAAAAAGAAAAGGAGAAAGAAAGAAAAACAAAAAUAAAGGGAGUGCAAAUAACAAUUAUUUUUAGAAAAGAAAAAAAAAGUUAUAUACUUUCUCGAAUUUUUUUUCUGCCCUUGUUUAUGCAAAAAAAUACAAAAAUGCCCCACUUUUUCGAAAAAUUGCGUAAAUGCCCUACUUUUUCAGAAGCCCCUGGUACUACUCCACUUGGAGUUGCGGGGUACCCUAAAAAGUCACAAUUUUUUUGUCCUUAUUGUACGCCGCUACUUGGACUUGCGGGGUACUUUCCUACUUUUUUUUUUCCACUUUUUUUACUACCCCGCGAGUCUUAGCUUUUGCUUUUUUUUUUAAAAUUUUUUUUUUUUAAAUACCCCUCUACUUGGAGUAGAGUGGUAUAAUGAAGACAAAAAAAAUUCAACGUGUAAUAAUUACUCUCAAAUAAUAAAAAACUAAUUAAAAUUAUAUAACCAAUAAAAUACCAUCUACAAUGAUUAUAAAUGCCCGGCUGUCCCACACCUUCGUCUUCGACGAUCUCUUCCGCGAUUUACUUGAGGGUUAUGUUGGUCUUCGUCAUUUUUAUUUGUAGUUGAUUGUAUCUGACUACCAUAACCCAGUGACAACGACACAUCGUGUUCUCUUGUUGGCCAUCCCAUAUCCAGAAAUUGUUCAUUGGAGUUCAACGAAGUCGGAGAGAAGUGAGAUAAUAGGUUUGUUGGUGUUGGUGGGUGGUUGUAGUUUUGGUUGGUGUACAUUGGGUAUUGUGGGUUGUUGUAGGGGGGUAAUUGGUGUUGGACGGUCCAGCUUGGUUUGGGUCAUUAUAGGAGAAGUAGUUGUUGUUGGAUGUGUUAGCUUGGUUUGGUUCAUUGUAACCAUAAUUUGUCAUUGAAUUUUGUUGGUAAGUUGACUGAUAUUGGGGCUCAUAUGCAUUUCUCGGGGAGGUAUAUGGUGGUGGUUGGAUGAUAUUUUGUUGGGGGGUGUCGAGAAAUUCAUACAUUACAGAACCAUGAAUGUUUUGUGUUGUAUGUGGUUGGGAUUGAUGAUCUUGUAGUUGAGAAAAAAUGUCUUGAUCCCAAAAAUCAUCAUGAAUUGGUGUUUGGUUGUUGUGAAUUUCAGGUUCAUGUUCCGGCUCCGGCUCUUCUUGUUCGUCUGGAUCUGAAUCUGAUGGUUUUGUCUCAACUGAAAUCCUUAGACGUGGGUUGCAUGUGGUUGUCAACCACUCAAUAUACGCAUGAGUUGGGGUGAGUGAUCUUGGCCGCAUGUGAGGUAAAAUAUAACUCCGUCGGUUGUCCCAAUGUAAGCUCUCUUGUGGAAAGUGAAAACCAUUUGAUUGGUACCACAUCUUGAACCGUUUGUCCACUAUAUGGAAUUGUCGCAUGUCUCGUGGGGCCCCUGGUAUUUCCUGUGGCAAACCAAAUUCUAGCUUGACCCUAUCAGUUGGAUGCCAUUCAACUCUGUCAAAACAUAUAAGGUGAGUUGUUGCAGUCCACUCCCAAUAGUCUUCAGGAAAAUUGUGUGGAACAUUCUUGUAUGGUCUCCAUUUAAACUGGCAGAAGAGAGAAGUUGUAGUGUAAGGUUAACAAUUUUGAUAUAUAUAUAUAUAUAUAUAUAUAUAUAUAUAUAUAGUUCGAUAGGUGAAAUAUAUAUUCAUUAUUAAUUAAAUAACUCCUAAUUAAAUACUUGUAAAAAAACUCAUGAUUAAAUAAAUAAUUAAUUUAUAAUCGCGACAUUUUUUUAGUCCUAUAUUAAUUGCAUGUCCUACUUUUUUUUUUCUUACAAAAGAAAGUUAACAUAUAGCUUUUUAUUUCUUUACGACCAUGAAAGUGUUAAUAUGUAGCUUAAAUAACAAAAUAUCUUAAUUAUAUUUAAUUAGACCAUGAAAGUUAGUUUACCCUUGAAAUUACAUAAAAAAAAAAUUACCGUUCAAUAUAUAUAUAUAUAUAUAUAUAUAUAUAUAUAUAUAUAUAAACUCAUACAUUCAAAAAUCAAUUAUAAUAUUACUUGAUGUUCCAGUAUGUCAUCAAACUUUUUUCUGUAAGAUAUAGUGUCAUGGCUUGGAUUCUCGUAGUAUCUUGAACCUGCACCUGUCCAUCUAACAAAUGAUAUAAACAAAUUAGUAGCUAAUUUAUCAAAUAAUAAUAUUAAUAAGAAGCGAGAAUAUGCGAGGAAAUUAACAAAAAAAAUAAAUAAAUUAAUUGACCACGAUUACUUUAAUCCUAGCGGCUACUGGAGUGGGUUAUCAUUUCUCGGAGCGAUAUAACUCAACCGACAAUAUCCCCAAACUUGUAACAGAAAAUGACAUCCAGAUAGUGCUUUUAUAUUUGGGUGUGAUGCCUCACACAAGCCACGAUAAAGGUAAGCCAAAACUGCCGAUCCCCAACUAUAAUUUCUUGUUUCAUUAAAAUCCAUUAACAAAUACAACCAAGAGUUGUGCACAAAUAAUCCAGUUGUAUUAGGAAACAAGAACCCUCCAAAGAGGUAUAGUAGGUACCUCCUGUGUGUUGUAUUUUUACCUCCGGAGGAGAUUGUUCACUGAAGUUAUUAUCGACCAGAUUAUCCUUUAAUCACGACAACGAGAGAGUAAAACCAUCAGUUUUGUGUGCUGGAGGAGUUAUUCCCAACAAUUGAGCACAAUUAUUCCACAGAAGAUUUGGAGGAGCCGUAACAAUUGGUCCUCCAAAAGGUAAGCCGAGUAAAAUAUAUACGUCUUCAAACGUGAUUGUACAUUCACCCGUUCGAAAAUGAAAAGUAUGUGUUUCGGACCGCUAUCUUUCUACAAGAGUGGUUACGAUGUGCCUAUCAAUUUUGUAACGCCCUAUUUGAGAAACCUCAAAAAAUCCAGCUUGACGUAGAUAAUCUUCAAUAUAAGGACUUGGUAUGAUGUUUUGCCGUGUACGAGUGGUUAGAGGUGCACCCUCUGCAUCCUAACAAAAAAUAAUAAAGGAAUAAAAUUAAAACAUAAUCAAAAUAUAAAUUUAAAAAAACGUGAACAUAUUUAAAUUAAUAUUAAAAAAUAAAAAUGACAUUAACAAAUUAAUAUCUAUAUAUACCCAUCUUCUUAUAUGUUCUUCCAUGGAUCUAUGAUCAUUUUCCAACCACAAGUAUGCCAUUGCUUUAUAGAAUUUGAUUGAAAUAAUCUCUUAUGUGAGUGAGUAAGGAAAGGAUUGAGAUAAGUAGAAUAUGUGUAAAGAGUAAAAAUAUAGUUGUGGUAUUUAUAAUGUAAAACUAUGUGUAAAUGGUAGAAGUAGUAGUGUGGUAUUUUAAUCAAUGAAGUGAAGAGUUCCUGUGUUACUACUGCAACGCAUGCAAGCCAACAGUGUUCAAAUAAACAUAGAAAUGACAAUUGCAUCAAUAGCAGAAGCAUGGUGUUCAACAAUAUUGAAUUAAUUCGUAAACUUUGCCUCAUGAGAUGACCAUUGCAUGUAAAAAAUACAUUAAUUUCUUGCAAGAAAUUUUUGACUGAAAUGACCAAUGCAUGUUUUGAUCACGUGAAGCAUGCUAGCAAACAAAUGGCCGACAAGCUGCCUCUGAAUAACCAAUAGGAACGGCGCGUGCAAAUACUACCCCGCCACUCUGGGUUGCGUGGUACCCCCAGCUGGCGCAUGCUUUACAUACCCCGCCACUCCAGCUUGCGUGGUACCCCCCAGCUGGCGCGUGCUUUACCUACCCCGCUACUCUAGCUUGCGUGGUACCCUCUAGCCCGCUAGUCCAAACUGCGUUGUACCUUUUUUAAUUUUCCCGCUCGAAGGGCAGAUUAAAUUACAUGUUAGUAUAAAUAAAAGUGGUCUGCAUGAUAUCAUUGUAUCAAACCAUUCUACUUCAUACUCUUACUCAUUUCUUAAGAUCAAACCAAUUCAAUGGCACCAAAUAUAAACGUUUUUGUGUACUAUAAUGGAGAAGUUAAACAAAAUGAAUCCGGUAUUUUUUUUCAAAGUCAGUAUACCAAAGGUUUUAAAGUCAGCAUGGCUAGUACUUACUUGCAUCUCAAAAGAAGAAUUGCGGAAAAAGUAUGUCUCGAAGAUAAUAUGGUUGUGUCUGAAAUUAUGUGUCGGAAUCCUAUGUUUGUUGGAACUACCACAAUUCAUUACCAGGCGUUAAGAAUAACUGAUAACGACGAUGUCGAGUUUAUGUUUAACGUACAUAAAAGUCACAGUUCUUUGUCCUAUAUAGAGCUUUAUGUUACGUUUGAGAUGAAGAAUCCAACAUCUAAUUUUGAGUUAAAUUACCCAUCGAGUUCUAGUCAACACCAAAGUCUACCACAACACUACAAUCCGUCAUCGUCGCAAGAACACUACAACCCAUCAUCGUCCCAACCGCACUAUAACCCGUCUCCCAUUUAUGAUGCAUCCUUAUCGCAACCUUUUCAGUCAAAGUGGUCACAAAAUGUGUACGAACCAUCACAAAUAAUAACUCAACCUCAUCCCUCUCAAACACCAUCUCGUUCAACACAACCCAAAACCUUAAACGAUGAAAUCAAUAUAUUCACCUCCCAAUUUCAAGACCAACCAAAUGAUGAAGUUCAAGAUGAUGAAGACGAUGAUGAUGAAGAACUCCUUGCCGCACAAAACGGUGACGAGAACGAAGAAGACGAAGACGACGAUCUGCCACUACUACCAAUUUUACCAAUCAGAGCUUCUUACAACCCACCAAGGUCCAUGCGCAACGUCAAUGAUGACCACUCAACUGAACUUUAUCAUUCAAUGGCUCUUCCGGUCGAUCAAGGUAUUGCCCUAGGGAUGCAAUUUCAUAACAAGAAUGAUUGCAUUCUCGCAAUUAAAUUUUAUCACAUGAAAAAAUCAACGGAUUAUAUUGUGAAAAAAUCAGAUCCUGAAAGGUAUGUCAUCAAAUGUAAAGAUACAAAAUGUGGUUUCAAAUUGCGGGCCUCGUGGAGGAAAAAAACUGAUAAAUGGGAGAUUGGGAAAAUGAAUGAUCAUACAUGUGUCUCAACAGAAAUGACGCAAGAUCAUCAUAAACUUAGUUACAAUGUGAUAUGUGAAAGUGUUAAAUCACUACUACAUAUGGAUACUUCAAUUACAGUGAAGGUUAUAAUUGCACACAUCCGAGAGAAGUUUAAUUACACAGUUUCAUACAGAAAGGCAUGGAGAGCACGGAAUAAGGCGAUUAAAUCAAUUUAUAGUAAUUGGGAGGAGUCUUAUGAAGAACUACCACAAUGGUUGAUGGUCAUGGAAAAAGAUUUGCCAGGAACAAUAAUUGAUUUUCAAACGGACCCAUCAACAGAAGUGGCAAAUGAGACCGUCUUCAAGCGUCUUUUUUGGGCCUUUCGUCCGUGCAUCUCAGGUUUCGAAUUCUGCAAACCAAUUGUCCAAAUUGACGCAACUUGGUUGUAUGGUAAAUACAAGGGAACAUUGUUGUUAGCUGUUGCGCAAGAUGGGAACAACAAGAUAUUUCCCAUAGCUUUUGCAAUCGUGGAAGGCGAGACCAAGGAGGCAUGGAGUUUCUUUUUGAAAAAUUUAAGGCAGCAUGUCACCCCACAAGAGAACAUAUGCCUCAUUUCUGAUAGACAUGUGUCGAUAAAGAGCGCGUAUGAUGAUCCACAGAAUGGAUGGCACGAUGCUCCGACAAGCCAUGUUUAUUGUGUCCGACACAUUGCACAAAACUUUAUGAGAUCAUUCAAGGAUGGAGAACUAAAGAAGAAAGUUGAAUGCAUGGGUAAAAAUCAUAUCUCUUUCCACGUAAAUUCGACAUUUUAUUUGUUUAAAAUGACACAUCUAACUUUUUUCAAAACAAUGCAGGUUACGCCAUGAACAUCCCUACAUUCGAAUACUACCGUUCUGAAAUUGCUGUUGCAGACCGAAAGGCUUUAGCAUGGGUCGACAAUAUUCCCAAACAAAAGUGGACUCAAUCACAUGAUGAUGGUCGACGAUGGGGCCAUAUGACAAGUAACUUGGUAGAGUCACAAAACAACGUGUAUAAGGGUAUUCGAGGACUUCCGAUCACAGCUAUCGUGAAAGCAUCAUAUUACAGGUUGGCGGCCUUGUUUGCUAAAAGAGGACAUGAGGCAGCGGCAAGGGUAAAUUCUGGUGAGCCAUUCUCAGAAAACAGCAUGAAAUAUCUCAGGAAUGAGGUGAUUAAAUCCAACAGUCAUCAUGUCACACAGUUUGACCGGGAUCGGUAUACCUUUUCCGUCCGUGAAACCAUCGACCAUAAAGAAGGAUUGCCAAAGGGAGAAUACAAGGUGGACCUGCAAAAUAAAUGGUGUGACUGUGGACGAUUCAGAGCGUUACACCUACCAUGCUCACAUGUCAUUGCCGCAUGUUCUAGCUUUUCUCACGACUACAAGACUUUUGUCGAUAACAAAUUCACGAAUGAGUGUGUAUACGCCGUAUACAACAUCCACUUCGACGUGGUUCACCACCAGACAUAUUGGCCUAAUUAUGAAGGACUGAAGGUGGUUCCCAACAAGUCCAUGUGUAGGGUAAAGAAAGGUCGUCCACCAAUUACUCGCAUUAGGACCGAGAUGGACGAUGUGGAAACUGAGAGAAGAUGCGGCGUUUGUAGGAUGCCUGGUCAUUCCCGCAAAGAUUGCAUUAAUAUUAGACACCAGUAAAAAUCUAGUCUUUAUUUCGUUUGUAGGAUGUAUGGUCAUUUCCACAAAUAAUUGUAGAUUUUAUGGUAUUUUAUUGGUUAUAUAAUUUUAAUUAGUUUUUUAUUAUUUGAGAGUAAUUAUUACACGUUGAAUUUUUAUUUUUUUUUGUCUUCAUUAUACCACUAUACUCCAAGUAUUUAAAUUUUUUUUUAAAAAAAGCAAAAGCUAAAACGCAAGUCCAACUUGCGGGGUAGUAAAAAAAGUGGAAAAAAAAAAGGAAAGUACCCCGCAAGUCCAAGUAACGGGGUACAAUAAGGACAAAAAAUUUGUGACUUUUUAGGGUACCCCACAACUCCAAGUGGAGUGGUACCAGGGGCUUAUGAAAAAGUAGGGCAUUUGCGCAAUUUUUCGAAAAAGUGGGGCAUUUUUUUAUUAUCUUUGCAUAAACAAAGGCAGAAAAAAAAAAUUCUACUUUCUCCCCACGUUUUCUCAAAAUUUGUUUCUAAAAUAAUAAUAAAAAAAGAAAUAGUUAUUUCAGAAAGAGAAACCGUGUGAUAUUUUUUAAUUAGUGUACACCUACACUUCUCAUGUGCCUAUAAAUAAGAUGCUUAGUUGAACAUAAACUCACACUACAAAACUCUCCUCUCUCUAAAAAAUCAGGUUAGUUCUCUCUCUCUCUCUCUCUCUCUCUCCUUUUCUGAACUUUCUCUAUUCAAUCUAUAGUCAUUCUUUAUUCUUUUGAAAGAGACAAGAUUUACUACUAAAAUAACCUCAGAUUUGGUCCCCACAACCCUUCUUUUGGGAAGAACAACAACAUAGUAUACCCUUCUUUUGGGAAGAACAACAACAUAGUAUUAGAAUGUUCUUUUAUCAGAUGAGAAAGUGACAGUAGUUUAGUUCUUUUCAACCUAAUCAAACCAUGAAAAUAGUUUAGCUCUUUUCAACCAUUCUUUUUCAACAGAAACAUCAUUCAAUAAAAUAAAAUAAAGAGAUCUCAGAUCUGUUUUAGACUUUUAGUAGAAAAAAUUACACGAUUUAAUUAUUGUAUUUUUUAUACUGAUACAAACUAUGAAGAUUGAAACAAAGUUCAUAAGAAAGUUGAGAUCUUGUUUAAUUCAUAUUUUUAGUUUAAAGAAAAAUAAAGAAAUGAACAUUGUUUUAAGAAUGACGUAAUGACUAUUAAAUGGCUUUUAAACAUUCUGACUAUAUAAAAAGGUAGUAACAUAAGUUUCAUUUGAAAUAAAAUAAAAUCAAGCUAUUAUUAAAAUAUAUCUAAUAUAAUCUGAAGAAAAAAAAAGGACGUGAUACAGAGAAACAAAGGAAUUAGAAAACUUUAACUCGUUAUCUCUAUUAUUAUGACCUUGAUAAUGACUAUAGUCUAAUAGAUAGUUUAUUUUGGGUGAGUAUUCUAGGUGAUAUUGGAGCUGCUUUCGACGGAAACAAUAUUGCAACCACUUGCGAAGAAUCCGAAGGUAAGGGGAAUUACUACUAAUAAAUUUUAAAGAUUUUGCAUAAGUUAUGUGCUUAAGUGAUUAUAUGUGAGUAAAUAACUCUACUUGUGAGAGUUAAUUUCUCGAUGAUGUGGUAAUUUCUAGCGAUCAAGUACAUGUCAAAGGACAUCGACUUAUAUGUGUUUUAGUUAAUAUAAUUAGGAGUUUUUGAAAAUAUAAUACAUAAGUAGAAGAAAAAGUUUUGUAAAUGAUGAAUUGAUUAGAUAGUUAUAUUAUGUUUAUUUGGUAUUACUCUUGUGUAAGUGAAUGAGCAUAUGAAUUUCAAUAAGUGUUAACUGAUUUCGAUGAGUGAAAUUAGUUGGAAAUAUAUGAUUUAAAGUGUCAAUUAUGAUUCGACGCGAUAAUUUAUAAUGUUAAUCAUGAUUAAAAACUUCUCUAUAAAAAGAAAUGAUCUAAGAGAGAUAGUUGUAUCCCACCUCAUUAAUUUUAUGGUAUCAACUCAUAGGUAUGUUGUAAAGGAAAGAAACUUAAGAAUGCCAAACUAUGAUCACUAACUUAGUACGUAGACAUAGUAUAUAUAGUUAUAUUGUACGUGUAGGAAAUUCUUUAAAACAAAUGUAUAUGUGCUUUUUAACUAGGCAACAUGAAUUAUUCUUUGUUAAAAUCUCAUGAAUAAAAAGAACAUGUACUAGUUUAAUUGAAUUACCUAAGUUCUUACUUACUGCUGAAAUUUCUAUGCUUAUAAAUAAAUGAAAAAGAACAUAUGCUGGUCAUUAAUUGUUCAGUUAUUAUGUACUGGCUUGAUUUACUUGCUGGAAUUUCUAUGCUUAUACAUAAAUGAAGAGGGACAUAUGCUGGUUAUUAUUUGUUGAGUUAUUAUAUACUGGUUUGAUUUACAUCACUGUACUAAUUGAAUAAAAUUCUGAUGUGGCUAAUCAAUUUUAUAAACAUAAAUGGUUAAUUGUUUGACAUUGUUGAGUUGAAUAUGAGUGUUUUGUCUUGUCUAGAAAGUAGGGACAAUUAAGGAGCUAUAACAGGUCCCUAUACACUCAGGUGUAGAUGAGAAUGAGGAUAGUUAUGGUUUGGUUACUUUGAGGAUCUAUCGAGGGCACUUGUGUUUCGAACGCCUAUCAAUAGUUGGGGAUUGCUUCCCGGCUGAAAGUACUCGUACUACCAGACACGGUGAGCCUGAAAAAACUAGACUAUCUAUGAUAAGGUAGUGCGAUCGGACUAGAAUGAUUAGAGUUUAAGCAUAUCUUGCUCAAAAUACUAAUAAUCAUGAUAUAGUUGCCGAAACGGCCUUAUGCUCAUUAGAGUGGAACCUCCAUGGAGUAGUGAAUUAUGAGAAGAAAAUAAACUAGAGUCAAGAAAAAAAAAGUCAAAAGAGUUCAUGCAUGUGUCAUGUUGAAUGUCAAACUAUUAAUUCAAAUUGGACCUCUUAAAAGAUAGUUUUUUUUUUUUUUUUUUUAUAAUAUGCUUUGUGAUUGUUGUUGGACAGUGAAUGAAAAGAAAAUAUUAUAUCUAUGUAAAUAUCAUUUUACCUUGCUGUAUAUAUAUUAUUUUCUUUUUCCUUAUGUAAUAAAUCACGUGGAAAACUUGUGUACGAGUAAUUCACCCUUCUUUGUUUGUUUUUGUAUCUUGUUGUUUUUUUUGGGUAUGUUCGGACGUUUUUAUAGAUGAUGCCAGAAAGACAUUUAGCUCACUCGGGAACCCGCAUGAUCGAGUUCCUUGAGGUAUUUUCUUUUGCAACACUUAUUAAAGAAGAAAGUAAUAAUAAAUCAAAACACUCACACAAAGACGCCUCAAGACUAUUGGAAUCACCCUAUCGUAUCAAAAGCUCAUGAAUAUCCAUAAGUAAAAACUUCUCCAAAAAGAACACCAUACCCUACUCAUAGGGUGCCAUCUUAUUAAAAUCAUACCCCAUCACUGCAAUCGGAGCAAUGAUCCAACAUAAAGGAAACUUUGGUUUUCCUUCCACCAUCACCAACGAAGUUGAGCCCUCAGGCUCUCCUUGCACCCUAACAAACGAAUCACACCAAUCCUUCUUAAAGUUAGAAGCAUAAGGAGGGAAAAGUUUUUUACUAGGAUAGGCACUAAUUGAAACCCACAUUCCCUUGUUUACAUCUUUCGUCCUAUAAAAAUGGAAGAAGACGCCAACAGAAGGCUCCAAACUCAUCCUUACAAAGUAGUUUGAAUCCACGAAUAAACGCCUAGCUAUUAGGACGUAUUUGCGAAGGCGCCACAUUCAGAAACUUUAGCACAUCCAUCUCAAAAUCCGUAAAGGGUCGUCACCCCAAACUCUUCCAACACCGUCAUAUACAUAAGAAAGGAAUCAUCCCUGACACCCUCCAAACGCUGAUCGCACACUCUCUCGCCUACAUCACAGGGCGACACUGUCACAUCUUUCUCGUUCUCAGUAGCAGAAGUAUCCAUCUUGUUUCAGAAUAAAUUGAUAUCCGAAGGCGACAUAUAUGAAAACACCGCUCGAAGAACUUCUUCAGCUAAAUGAUUCAUCUCCAACUCAUAAGAAUACGUCAAACACAUAAUCUCUUUUUGAGUAGACGGAAGAGGCAUAUAAUGACAAAUCUCUUGACAAGUUUUCCCCCUACGACAAAUCACUAUCACUACCAUUAGAGCUAUCGCUACUAGUGUUGCUAUCAUUGGACAAUUCCCCUAAAACCCUACGAUAAAAAAGCCCUAAUUCGUAAGCUUCCCAAUCAAUCAAGUCAUUAGGAUGUGUUGCAUGUCUUAAAGAAUCUCUCCUCAGUUGGUCUCUCUCAUCAAAAUUCGUAGGAGAGAAGGCGAAAAAUGAGAGAAGGAAAAUGGAAGAGUACUUGAGAAGAUUGAAAACGUGAGCUUAGAAAUCCAGACAAUCAGCUGGCAAGUGCGCGAAUACGGAGAACUAAAAGGCGAAAAAUGCGGAAGUGAAAUGAGGAAAGGAAGGAAAUGAAGGGUCAAAGAGUUUUAGAGGACAACAACAAUUAAAACCCCCUCAAAAAACACGCUCAUCCUUGGCACGAUUGGAGACACGUGUCAAGAUACACCCAGAUUCGAACACGUCACUAUCAUCGAAAGGUCACACAUUUUGGACCAUACAAUCAUGUUAAAAAUGAAAGAUCUCGUCGAUAUAGAAUUUCAAAAAACUCGUUGCCAACUCCUCAAACAGGAAACUUACUCGCCGUGCUGUUACAAAUCACUUCGCCUUGUCCCAAGACUCGUGGUUGGGGGCUGUGAACAAACAUCAGGCAUAAAACGCAUGACUCGACUAGCACACACCCUAGGGGGCUCUAGGAUAAAGCAUAAUCACCCAAGGGGGACUCUGUAAGCUCCAACAACAACAUCCAAAGACAUACACAAAAAAUACUGAUAAACGUAAAAUAAAUUCCAAAUGCUAAUUAAUCAUUUCGCCUUGUCCCAAGACUCGUGCUUAGGAGGCUUUGGACCGUCAAUAUCUUCUUAAGGACCUAGAAGUCCUCCCAAAGGGCAUUUAGACCCUCCUAGAUGCCUAACACCCUUCAAAAGGGCUCUAAGGCCCAACACGCGCCCUUCCUAGGGAGCCGCCUCUACCAGCUUCUAAAACCUCCAAAGCUCGGCCUAAAUACCUAAUACGAUUACAAACCCUAAUACCUCAUUACGUAUAGCUUAAGAACCAUAAAUCAGGCCAAUAGAGGGCUAUAAAUACAACCUUUGAGAGCCUUCUGAAGGCAUGACCAAUACAUUACAAACCCUAAUACGAUUAUUGUACUUUUGCAAGUACAAUGAGGAAGGCGAUAUUGACAGGGAAAGUUUCCACCUAAUUUGGGCUAAAAACAUGGACUUUUGGGGGUAAAAAAGUCACAAAAAGUGACUUUUUUCGCAAGGAGCAGGGCGCCUAGCGCAUAAUGGCAUGCACCUAGCUCAUGUUCCUGCUAGGCUGAGGCGCCUAGUGCCCCUUUCAUGCGCCAGACGCUUCAGUUGUUUAGCUUAGGGGCACCUAUUGUGCACCUGGGUGCAUAAGUGCCUUUUCAGUGCCUUUUCAGUGCUGUUUUUCUUGUUUUCUUUGCCUUUUGAGGUGUUUUCUUCAAUGUAAGAUGUCUUGGAACUUGAGAACAAAAUUCCUUCCUUUGUAAAGACUUCUGAGGCAUCUUGAAUCUUCAUUAUUCAUCUUCCCAAGGUCCACAUAAAUCUUCAAAUGUCUUGCAUUGUCUGAUUUGCUUGAUUUCUUCGUGAAUUACUUCAACAACACCCUAAAAUUGCUAUUUUUCAGGAAGAAUAGAAUUACAAACUCAAUAUAAAAUACAUUACAAAUGUACCGAAAUCAUAGGCAAUUGAUCAAAUACUCUUCUUCUUUGCUGGUAAAACCUACUGAAAUUGACUGAAAAAUGUAACAGCCCUAUUUUCGUUAGAUUUAUUUUAAUUGUUUUAAUAUGUGUUUAUUUAUGCUUAUGUGUGAUUAUUAUCAUUGGGUGCAUUUUUAUGGGUUUUCGUGUUGGAAGGAUAAUUUAGUAAUUUCAUGUAAGGAUUAUUUUUAGUGUUUCAAGUGAGAACCAUUAUUUACUAAGUUACUAGUGUGGUAAUUAGUUGUGAGCCGGUAAGUGAUCGUUGUUAUUAUUUUACCGUUAAGGGAGUAGAAACAUUUUAGAAUUAGUGAAUUAGUGGGUUAAGCCCACUAAGGCAUUAGGGUUAAACCCAAUUGAGAAGAGCCUAUAUAAGUUCUAGAUUUUAGAGAAAAAUAGGUUUCCACUUCAUUUCAUAAGAAUUUUGAGAGAGGUAGAGAUAGAAAGUUCAAGAGAAGAGGAAAAUGGUUAGAAGGGAGAAAAGCUUGAAGACUCAAGAGGUGAUAGAGAUUCUAGGACCUAAAUUGAAGCUUUUGCUAGGAUUUUUGCUAAUUGAGGUAAGGGGGUUAGAUUUCAAUCAUAAUAACUUAGUUGUAGCUUUUACCCUAAUUUCAUGUAUAAAUGCUUAUUUGUAUAAAGUGAUUAUUAUGAAAUUAAUUGAUGAAAUUCGUGGUUAUGCUUUGAUGUGAUGUUUGGGUAUGUGAAAUUGAUGUUAAUUAAGUUGUUGAUGAAGAAUUUACAUGCUCAAGUUAUGUAUAUAUGUAUACUUGUGUUUUUGCUCAAAAUUGAUGAAGUAUAAUGUUAUUGUUGGUGAAUUGUUGAUGAAUUCACUUCUGAUUGUUGUUGUUGUGAUUGUGAGUAGUUGUUGUUGAUGAUUGAAACCUUGGGUAAUCUUAACCAUAGAGCUUGAAGUGAGUUUCUAUUGUUCUUGAAGUUUUCAUGAAAAAUAGGUCAAAUGGUAAUUUUGUUGAAAUUAUGUUGGAUUCAAGUUUUUAUAUGGAUUUGAGUGUCUUUUCAUGUUUAGACAAACUUUGGGAUCAAAUUUGGGUAUUGGGUCAAAAUUGGGAUUUUGGGGUGAAAAAUGAGUUUUUUUUUGUAGUAGAACUCCAGAAGCCUGUCACAACUCGCCAUGGCGAGCGGGAGGCGAGCAGGAGGUGCUUCCUGUGUGUUAACUCCCCAUGGCGAGUGAUUCACUCACAGGGCGAGCUGCACAGUGACAUCAUUCCCUGUUUCGCAAUCUUGCGUCUUUUUCACAUAUUUUUGUUUUGAAUUGGUCUUUGGUAUAAAUAUGAAAGUUUUAGAUAAUUGUGUUAGCUUUCCAGUGGCGUUGGUUUGACUUGAAAAUGAUUUUUGGUUUUUGAGUUAUGAUGAAAAUACUCCAAGGAGGUCUUAGUGAAAUUUUAUGAAAAUUCCGCAUAACUAUUUCUAAGUCAACCCAAAACUUAUGGAUUGUUUCCAAACUUCAAAACUUGUGUACUAUGAGUUAAAUUAAUGUGUUUAAGAGUAUUUAAGCUACGUUGUGGUGAAUUUAACUUGGUUUUGUUUUGAAAGUGAAUUGGUUUUACAUUAUGAGUAAAGCGAUACGAACUUUGCAAAACUUUGAAUUUAAGUGAGUUGGCCUAUGGGACCUUGAUGUAUACACUAUUGCACUCAUAUGUGAUUGGUGUAUAUACUUAGUUGAGGUUUCCAAAUGUGUUUACCUUGUUUUGUCGGAUAACUUGAAAAUUGGUAAAAUGAUACGAACUUGUCGUAACCUGUGAUUUUGAUGAUUUUGUCGUAGUAGGCCGGUGAAACGCACAUGUAUAUUCAACUACACUCAUAUGUGAUCUAAGUGUAUACAUAGUCGAGGCCCUAGAGUUUAUUUACUUGGUGUUAGUUCAUUUGUCUCAAUUAUUUUAAAGUUGUAAAAUGAGAGUUGAACUUUGUCAAAAAUGGUUCUUUAAAGCCAAUUACCUUAUAAAUCUUUUGUAGAUAACUUUAUAUGACUAAAUGAAGAUAUGUGAAUGAAUUUUUAAUUGUUGAAUAUGAUAUUAUCAUAAGGUGUUGCAUUUUCUCUUUACUUGGAAUAUGAUAAGUAUUUGGAAUGGUGGAACUAUACUAUAUGGUUGAUGUUGAUUAAUAUUUAUAUAUCAAUUGAUGUUGAUGAUUACUGAUAAUUAUGAUGAAAAUGUGAUGAUGACUCUUAAUUGGAUUAUGACUUUAUUGUUGUGUGGACGUAAAUAUUUGAUAAUGCAAUUGUUGUUGAUGUUAUCCUUUAUAUUGUUGUUGAAUAUUUAUGAGGUGAUUUUGCAUUGUCAAGUCUUUCCUUGUAUGUCCAUGCAUCAUAGUCAUGUUGAGUCUUGAUGUUGUAAAGGAGGGUUACUCUUUUACUUUGGUGAUAAUGUAAGACGGGUGUGAAAUUUUACAUAUGAUGUUUUUGUUGCAUCAUGUGUGACGACCUUGAGGUGAUUUGGUACCACAUGCAUAUAUGUGUCGGGAUUAGGCACAUAUCAUAUUGGCGUGAGUCUUAAUUGAUGUAUUUGAAUGAUGAUUGAUGAUGAUAAGUGUGUUUGAUGAAUACAUACUUGUGAUAUUUAGAAUUGUUGCAUGAAUGUGUAUAUGGAAGUUAAUUGCUCAUGAUUAAUUAAUUGAUACUUGAUUUGAUUCAUUUAUGUCUAACUAUUUAUGUGGAUUAUGAUUGUUGUAAAGCUUACCCCUAGUGGUUUUGACCACCUACCUGUCUAUAUGGAUGGGUAGACGAAGUGCAAGAUUAGUCGCUUUGGUGAGUUGCUUGGUGAUUGCUUAGAUAGAGGGAGUUAUCUCCGUUAUCGUUUCCUUAGAGUCUUAGGAUAGGCUCUGAUCUAGGAUGUAUGUCUUAUGAUUAUUCUAGAUUGUUUAUUUUGGAUUUAUUUGUGUUGUGGAGAUUUACCCAAUUGUCGGAAUUUGAAGAAUUUUUAUGUUGAUGUAUUUUGACCUCAUGGCAUGUAUACUUUUGAAGUGUAUGGUUUAUAUCCGCUGCAACGGUAUAGAAUUUUUAUAUAUGCUUGUUAUUUGAACAUUGUUGAUGAUGUGGCGUCUAUUUCUUGGAUAUUUAUAUUAUUCGCGUGUUUUAUUGCUUUAAUAGAAAUAGGGCGCUACAAAAAACAUGCUAAAAAUAACGUAAGAUGUCCUGUCAUCAUACAACGAUUGAGAAAAAGAUAAAGAUUGUCUAAUACCCAAGACUUCUUACAUAACUAUUUCAUCAAAGCAGAAUAGUUCAAAAACUGGAAGGUGUGGGUUUUCAUGACCUAGGAAUACAGGUAGCUCAAGUGAUGACAACAUAAUUUAUGGGAAAUAUGAGAAUCAUCAAGUCUGUGGUAAUGUCAAAUGGAUUCUCAAUCAGAAAAGAAUGCAGAACCUUUAUCCCAGACUUUCCCUCGAUCAUCCAAGAACCAAAUACCAAAGAUCUAGCAGACCUAGUGUCACAAGCUUCUGAAGAUCUAAUCUGACAUGGACCAUGCUCCUAGGGCAUGGACCAUGCACCUAGGGUAGGGUGCGUUUCACAGUCACAUGCGCCUAGGGCAUGGAGUGUGCUCCCUGAGAACUAAAAAAGUGUGGGGCAAAAUUGAUUUUUUUUCGACUUUUGUGUUGUUAUUUUAUGUUGUGAUUUUCUCAGAUUGGAGUGGAGGUAGGAUGUGAGAGUUCAACAGAUCACCAUUUGUAUGACUGAACAGACUAUUCAGAAAAUCUGAAUCAGUGUUUUGAUAAAUGGUUUAGCUAGAGGGUAAUGAUAUAGGUGGCGAAGGAAUAAUGAUGGAUGGUACUGAAGAAAUGUUAACAUAUUAUGUAAGCUCAAGAUCAAUACCUUUUGUAUUAUGAGAUUCUUCUGCUUUGCCUGGUGAGGUUGGCUCAACGGUAGCUGUUGUGAGGUUGGCUCAACGGUAGCUGCUUCUGUGACUAGCAUGCUGACUUCUUCUGCUUGCUUCUGUUGCUUCUCUUGGUUCUCACACUCAUCUACAUCGAUGAAUAUUAGAUGACACAAAUCUUCCUUAGCAUGUACAUUCUUCUUCCUUUCUGGUGAGGGAAUGAGUGAGUGAAUAGUACCAGAGUUCCUUGUGAGCUUGGAAAAAUCCGUUUUGUAGACAGAUCACAAAGUCACAUACUCUUAAUUUGUCUCUGAGUCGGUUUUGGAUUGCCUCGUCUUUUUGGGUGCUUGAGAAACUUUCUCAUCACCUUUCCUCUUAACCUCGACUUUCUUUAACUUCUUUGUUGGAGGAGAUGUUGUGACUUUGGAUGAUUUCCUCUUAUUCUUCUUGUUGUCUGCAGUUUCUGAGUCACCAGGAGUUUAAUCCGGAAAGAACUAAUCCGCAACUAAUUACUAAUAUUUUUCAUUGAAAAAAAAUAAUUUUAAAUAAGACUGGUACCUUGGUCUGUUGUAAAUUUGUAAGAACUAAUUUGACAGACAAUGAUAUAACUCAAAGACUAAUUUAUUUGUAAGUGCAAUAAUUUUGUUACUAAUUUUUGACCGUAAAUAACACACAAGUUAGCAGAAGGACCAAGUUGUUCAAUAUAAUUCAAAAUGUGAUUGUUUUUGCCAUGGCAUCCCCCAGUUUUUCUAUAAUUACACAAGAUUCCCUUUGUCUCGAUGGUUAGGAAGUACAAUUUUCUUUUGGAUGUCUCGUGUCUGAGUCCUAAUUCCCCUCAUUUUUAUAUUUCUAUUAUAUUAUAUUUUAAAUUUUAUUAAAAAAAUGUUCUUGAGGGGGAAUCGAACACGCACCACUACACUGAAUUCUAGCAAAAAACUGACCCCUAGACCGGUUACUGAUCUGAAGAAUAUUAUGAAACAACUAAACAUAUAUUCCAUAAAUUUUGGCACCCCCAAGAUAAAAACUCAAGAUCCGCCAUUGCCUAACUCAAGGUCCUAAAUACGCCACUACCAUUAACUAUAAUUAAUAAGAGUGUUUUAGAAAAUGAAACAUAUUUUGAACAUAUUUCUUAUCAUUUCUUUAACAAUUAUGUAAAACUCAAAAGGAACCCUUAAUUUGAGACAGAGGAUAUAUAAUAAUCGAUGAAGUUUAAUAUCUGCAAAAAAGUGUUAUUAAGUGAAGUAAACUUAACAAGGGUGACACUUGUUUUCUUUUGGUAAGGUGUGGGAGCACUCUUGACUGAGUUUCUAUUUUUUUUUUUUAUAUUCUUUUGAAAGUUGUAGUGGUGUAAUUGGGUGGUUAGUUGAAGUAAUUUUCGUUUUGGUUCUUGCUUGAUCUAUUUUGCAUUGUGAAAUUUCAAUUCUUAGUUUGCUUUCUACAUUGACGGAGUUGCUAAGUUGCAAUCAAACUUUUGAGUGUGUAUUAAUUAUAACAGUAAGAGUGUUGCUAGCACUACUCUUAUAUAAAAUCAGAUGUAUUUUUAAAUUUAUUUAUUUAUUUUUUUUUUUUUAAUUUCUACGAAAGUGGUGCACUUUUCCAUGAAUAUGCUUUUAGUGCAACUCCUUACCAAUGUAGUCAAACAAUUUCUUAAAACUCAUUGUUAUUAGUCAUUUCGAAACAAUGUAUUCACCAAGACAAAGGAGUGGGUGGAAGGAUAAUGGGUGCAUGCACAAUCAAGAAAAAGUUAGGUGAACAUUACAAUCAAAAUAUAUAGCAUAGAGCAUCAAAAUUUAUCGUAUGAAACAAUGUUUUUCUAAAAUAUGAAUGUGAACAAAUAACCCUUCAACUCAUAAGAUGAUCUUUAAUAUAUAGAAUUAGAAAGUUAGAGUAUCAGUACACCGAAAUUUAUAUAUUCAAAAGUGAGGCGUAGUUGGUUUUCCUCUUUAUGUAGUAUAGUUCGGUUUUUCCAUUUUAUUAUGGUACUUAUUCCUAUCAAAUUGAUAAAUCAGCUUUAUCUUAUAAUUGAUUUAACUAAUGAUGACUUGAACAUCAAUAUUAUAUAUUCGGAUAUACGAGUACUUCAUCGUGCUCUUAAUUUAGAGAUGUUUUGAGUUUGUUUACAAAUUGAAUCUUUGAAUUUUAGACAUAGAACUUGUACUCUUUUAGAUAUAAUAUACCGAUUUGAAUGGAUAAAUACCGUAAUUCCAAACAUAUAUUUUUUUUUCACACACAUACCUCAUCCAUUACGAAACGCAGGAACUAAAGCUAUAUAAUAUAGUGAAGCUAAUUUAAUAAAAAAUAUAUAUAUUUGGUGAUGCUAAACUCAGUCUAACUUAAUGCCAGUUCAAAAGGAACACUGUGGUAUGGAGGAAUUCUUUGUUUUGCAUUUAUAAAUGGCAACUAUACCCUAUUAAUCAUCAUCAUAAAAAUAAUUUUUAUAAUGUAUGAGACCAAGUUUCACGUCUCUAUUAUUUUUCAUCAUUUUUUAGAAUUGUACGAUCUUGUACCAGAUCUUCGUUUAGUUAUGAUGAUAGCAACCACUCUCACUGAAAAAUUAUAUAAUAACAUUUUUUUGGCAUAUUUAAUUACUGAUCCUGUCGGUGUAUUAUUGUAAAAUUAGGCAAUUUGUCCAAUCAAUUCACACAUAAUUUCAAACCUGGCAACUAUAUAAAAACAAAAUCAUAGGUAAAUAAUGUAGAAAAUCACCAACAACCCUUGAAUUUUGUUACAAGAAAGGGCCAAGUCAUCACCUUAUCAAGAUUGUGAGUGGAUUCACAAAGAUCACGACUAGUAUAAAAGGAGGAAGUCACUCUUGUGUUUUCUGCACCAAACUCAUAAGUCACUAACAUGGCUUCCUCAAACUUCCUAGUGCUGCUUCUUUUUGCUCUAUUUGCCAUUCCUCAGGGUCUUGCCAAUUAUGAGAAGCCUCCGGUUUACCAACCACCGGUGUAUAAGCCACCAGUUGAGAAACCCCCGGUCUACAAACCCCCUGUAGAAAAGCCACCAGUAUAUAAGCCACCAGUAGAGAAGCCUCCAGUUUACAAACCACCGGUGUACAAGCCACCUGUGUACAAACCCCCAGUAGUGAAACCCCCAGUCUACAAACCUCCUGUUUACAAGCCACCGGUGUACAAGCCACCAGUUUACAAACCACCAGUAGAGAAGCCCCCAGUUUACAAGCCACCUGUAUACAAACCCCCAGUAGUGAAACCCCCAGUCUACAAACCUCCUGUUUACAAGCCACCAGUUGAGAAGCCUCCAGUUUACAAGCCACCAGUAGUGAAGCCACCUGUUUACAAGCCCCCAGUCUACAAGCCACCAGUAGUGAAGCCACCUGUAUACAAGCCUCCAGUCUACAAGCCACCCGUUUACAAGCCUCCAGUUGAGAAGCCUCCGGUCUACAAGCCACCUGUUUACAAGCCCCCAGUUGAGAAACCUCCAGUCUACAAGCCACCGGUUUACAAGCCUCCAGUCGAGAAGCCACCAGUUUACGGACCUCCUCACCACCCAUAGGACUCUCGGAUGCUUUUAAGUAAAUAAGUUAAAUAAGAGAUAUAUAAUGUUUCCAAAGCAAGGAUUAUAUAUUCUUGGAAUCUUCAUUUUAGUCUUUUGUUUACAAAUCCUAUUACCAAGAUAAGAAUGUGAAAGAAAAUGGUGCAUUUGUACUCCAAGUUAUGAAUAAGAACGUUGUGAUUUAGCACUUUUUAAUUUGUGUUGGUUGACUAAAUUGGACAUAGUAUAUAUAUACUCUACUUAAUACUCUGUCAUAUCAGUAAGGUGCAUGAAAGUUCAAUUUUCUGUAGUAGACAUAACGAAUAAUUAAUUUAUGUUUGAAUCUAGAAUUUACUAAACUUCACGUACUUGGAAUUUCAUUGCAUUAUAGCUUGACUCAGUAGUAGCUUUAGUGAAAAAUGAUUUUGGUGCUUAAAAUUUUAAGAGUUGGAGUUUGGACAAAUUAUACACUCAUAUAAUUUAGUUAUCUUUUCAAAUUUACAAUUACAAUUUUCAAGGUUCUAUAUUUGUGUUGAUGCACCAAUUAAGAGAAUGAUCAAGAAAAUUAGGUUUUUAAUUGGUUUUUAUCGAUGAUUUCUGAAGAUAUAUUUCGGCAGAUGAACUAAUCCUUCAAUUUAAGAGAUUAAAUUGCCAUUUUACAAAUUUCAAUGAUUAUAUUAUUACCUAAUCUUAAAUAUAAUUUUUAGGGCUAAAACGAUGAUUCACUCAAUAUAUAUUGUGAUUUCUUAUUUUUUUUAUGAUAUAAAGAUAGCUGAAGUUGUGUGAUAUACAAAGUUAUAUUUCCUUUGGAAGAUAAGAGUCCCCCACCAUAUUGACAUGAAAGUGAACGUGGGAAAAUAUGUGCAAUUAAGGUUCCAAAUAUUAAACAAUAGCCACAAUAAUUGUCUAUAACUCAUAACAAAUAUAAGAACUUGAUAAGAAAAAUAAUAAAUAUAAGAACAUGAGCAGGCCAUAGUUUUUUAGCCCGAGAAGCUUCAUCUUCUUUUUAAGUCUAACAUUUUUUAAUCUUCAUUCAAAGAAGAUUGGUGAUUUUGGGAUAUUUUUAUAAGAUAGGUAAAUAAUGAAAUUUGUGUUGUACUCGAAGAAAUCUACCACACGAUUUGAAUGAAUAUAUUACUUUUAGUCAAAAUAAAUUAAAAUAAAGAAUGUAACAUUUCAAACUCACUCACAUAUAAAGAAUGAAUUUACAAUCUUUAAAACACAAAUAUUUAAUCCUUAAAUCUAACACCUCUCUUAGUUUUAGCGAAAUGAACUUUGUGUUGUACUCGAAGAAAUCUACCACACAAUUUGAAUGAAUAUAUUACUUUUAGUCAAAAUAAAUUAAAAUAAAGAAUGUAAAAUUUCAAACUCACAUAAAAAGAAUGAAUUUACAAUCUUUAAAACACAAAUAUUUAAUCCUUAAAACUAACACCUCUCUUACAUUUAUUUUGUUUACGUACCUUUAUUUUGUUUUCAAAUACUUAUAUUUAGUUGAAUUCCUUCAUUAUACUCUUUUUAAUGAAUUUUCUGAACAAAAUAAAAUUGUGUUACUCAGUCACUCAAAUUAGAGUGGAUAGAGCAAUGAAAAUAUUUAUUACUAUGUAGUUUAUAGUUGGAGUGAUCGGAUAGUCUAGUGGGAUCUUAGCCACUCUCGUUUGACUCACUUGGAGCAUGUCAAAAAUAUUUUUUUGAAAAUGAACGAUGGAGAUUUACUUUGCACUAGGUCCAGUGAAAAAGAUAUGGGAGAUAAUCCCAAUCUUAGCUUAUUGGGUAGGCCAGUGUUGAGAAUGGAUUCUCUCAAAUGUAAUUAUCUCACUAGUCUAAUUACCAACACAAUCAAAGAGAAAAAAUAGUGGGAUGUAAGUAAAAAAUCCAUAUUCUACUUACUCAAUCAUCUAUACAAGCUACUUUAAUUAUCUAGUCGAACGUUACGAGCGUUACAAGAGAAAUCAGAAUAUCGAUGAUCAAAAUCCUUCAAAGCAAAAGAUGUUGUUGUGUGCAAGUGUGAGUUAUAUGCCCCACAUCGGAUAAAAGAGUAAAGGUUGAACACCUUAUAAGUAAGAGGACCAUAAACCCAAAGCCUUAAGGUUUUGGGUAAGAGUGUGGUGUCUCCCUUGCUUGUCUGGUUGUUCUAGCCUCGAUGUGGACGCUCCCCCAAGCUCCCCUCGCUGACCCAACAGUGGUAUCAGAACCCCGGUUCGAUGAAGGGUACGACUGAGGCCGCCUGUCAGUUGUGCAGAAAGCAGCAACGACGGUACAAGCAACAAGUGGCUUCUUGUGCAGCAACGGCUAUACAUGCAAAGUAAAAAGCUUCCACGCGGUACAAGCAACAAGUGGCUUCUUGUGCAGCAAUGGCUAUACAUGCAAAGUAAAAAGCUUCCACUCUAGGGGAGCGACUCACGCUUGAGGGGGAGUGCUGUUGUGUGCAAGUGUCUGUUAUAUGUCUCAAAUCGGAUAAAAGAGUAAAGGUUGAACAUCUUAUAAGUUAGAGGACCCAUAAACCCAUAGCCUUAAUACUGUCCUUUUUGCAUAUUUAGCCCCCCCGAAACCAAUUUUAACCAAUUCAACGAUGACGUGGAUGUCACGUGUGUAAUGCUUUAAUUAUUUUAGUUUUAGAUAGAUACAGAGAGAGAGGUGUCAUAUGUCAAAAAAAAAAAAAGAUAGAAAAGAUUUCCUUCCUUGAAUCGUUGAGGUAACUACAAACUAAGACAAUGAUGUUAUUGGUUACUUGUUUCUAAUACCUUUGAAAAAGAUAGUUAGACCAAUGUAUUGGUCAUUAACUCUUUUCAAUGGUUACUACCCUAGUGUCUAAGGUGAGUCAUAACAACGUCAAAGUAAGUACAAUUAUUAUUAAUUUAUGUCUACACCUAAUCAAUAAUUGAAGGUUAAGAUAGGUCAAGCCAACAAAGUUAAGGUUAAGAUAAUCAUUUUCACCUAAAUUGAUUUAUGAACAUAUGUUAAUGAUGACAGUCCGUCAUAUCACAUUUUUAGAGUCUUUUCAAUUAAGUUUUUAUUCUAAUUUUAUUAAUUUAGUACUUAAUUUAGAGUCAUUUUAAAUAAAUUGUCAUUUUCUUAUUAUUGAGUCAACUAGUGUAUUAUUACUAUUAUUAUUGGUCAAUUAGUGGCUAGUAAAGAGAAUGAAACAAAAACAUGGUUUUGUGAUGGAUGUGAUUGGCCAAGAAAAAUGAUAACAAGUUGAACGAAAGAAAAGAAGACCACACAAUGUUGCAUUAGGGUGCAGGAAUCAAAACCAAUAUAAUUGGGCUUUCUUUCAUGGACGUUGAACCAAGAAAAAGAAAAGAAAAGAUAACUUGCUGCAUAAUGUUAAUUUGGAAAGAAAAAUAGGUUUGACAAGCUAUAAAAGGAGACCACGCACAGGAACAAAGCAGACGAUUGGGAAAGAAAGAGCAGCACGCGGUACGAGACAAAAGGAGGAGGAGAAAAGCUCAUGGAAUUUGGAAUAUGCAACAGUACUGAUUAAAUAGAACAAAGCCGGUAGACCAUAAUUCGAUCGGUUUAUUUCUUUUAGUAUGUUGUUUAUUCCUUUAAUAUGUCUAGUUAAUUCCAUUUGAUUGAGUCACGAUGAACCUAUUGUAAUAUAUGAAUCAGUAGUUAAAACUCUUUUUAUUAUCAAUAUUAUUCAGUCUUUAUUCAGAAUUAUCUGUGUUCAUUGCCUUUCAUAUGAUUGUUUGCAUUGUUUGCAUUGUUUGCAUGACUAUUAACCCUAACUUCUUACAAUCACAUAAAUUGAUCUUAGGAAUUGAAUGACUACUAACCCUAACUUUUAAUCCUGAAAUAAUAAUUCUGUUUAAUUCAACAUAGGAACCUAGAGAUAGGAAAUUGAGGAUUAUGACAUAUAACGUUCUAACAUCGCUUCCGCGGUUAUUCAACCAGUUUAAAAGAUUAAAAGGUUAUAACUUAGGAAAUGGUUUUGAGUCAAGAGAUUGAUCAAAACUAAUUAGUUAAUUUGUCGUAAAGAUUGAAUAAGUGUUGAGAGCAAAGAGAGAUAAACUAUUUCACAUAAAACAAUAGAGGAUUUACCGGCUGAUCAUCUGUUUUAAUCCAAUUAUCAAACCAUUUUAUUUUAUGUUAUUUACUUUUUAUUGCACACAAACGUACUGCCUCAUACACUUAUAAAAUUUACACAUCCUAGAUAUUAACUUUAUUGCUAGUUUGAGAUUAACACAGUCCUCGUGGAUACGAACUUAUUUUAUUACUUCGAUAGUUUUAGUACACUUGCUAAAAUAUUUAUGAGUUAACCAAUAAAGAGUAUCAAGAACAACUUUAACCGAAUAAAAUAGAAAAGUAAUUAAAUGAAAUUUAUAGAAUUAUUCAAAGUUACAUAAUCAAACAAUUACGAGGAAGUUCUUAUUUCAUGACCUAACAUAUAUAGUAUUAGCUACUCAUAGAUUUUCUAAACAUAUAUAAAUAGAUAUGAAGAAGAAAGCAUGAGAAAAGGAUCAGCAAGUGAGGAUUAAUUGGCUCCCUAAUGGCCGUGGUCACUCCAAUCCUUCCAAAAUUGUGUUUCUGCCUUCGUCUUCUCGCUAAAAAGUAUUUUCCACUAACUUAGGUUUCAAUAUUUAUAGGUGUGCAUUUCCUUAAGUUUUUGGGAAAUUGGCACACGAUGCGAUCCUAUUCCUCAUGAUGCGAGGAUAACAUAACUAAUCUUGUUGGCCUCACGUUUAUUGUCCCGAUGCAAAGCUCAUGAAGAUUGAUACGAUUCAAGGAAAUGUGAUUUGAUUUAACCAAGCAAAAACCAAGAUCAUAGGAUAACAAUGAUACGAUUCAAAGAAGUGUUAACUUGAUUCACAGUAAUACAAUUCAAAGAAUCAUGAAUCGUUUAAAAAUUUAUGGAAAAUUAGCAGAAACUUUUCAUGAUAAGAUUCAAAAAAGUUUGAAUUGAAUCAAUUGGUUAGAAAAACAUUUUGACCAAGAAAAAUGAAGUUUUCUUUAUACAAACAAAACACAAGACAACAAGGGAUCAUAUGAUUUAUGAGGCAAGAUUUCUAGGUAUGCUUUAACAUGAUAUUAGUCAAUAACAACUAAUAUCUAAACAUCAUCAAAUAAAAACUACCUAAUGAACAUCAUAAAAACACAAACCUAUAACUACACAACUUCAUCCAACUUAUUGGGUGUACCGCAUUAACUAGAUAAUGGUCAUAUCUAUACUAUAUAUAAAGAAAAUAACAUGUUUUUCAAGGUGAGAAAAACACGAGAGGGGGGGGGGGGGGGGGUUGAAUUGUGGUUUCUUUCUCUUCUCCUAAAACCGAAUUCACUAUUCAGAACUUGAUAGAGUUCAGCUUCUGAAGUAGUGUUCAGAGUCUAGUUGCAGCGGAUAAGAAAAGAGAGAGAGAGAGAGAGGCAAGACACAAAGCAACUAUACAGAUUCCUUCCACAAACCGGAACUAGUCAUGUCCCCCUUGCACCUCCAAGAAGAGUUCACUAAAAUCAAUAUUCGAUUACAAUUGCUCAGGGCUCAAAAUAGCAAGAGACUUCAAACUACUCAAGAACAACUACAAGAGAUUUCCUAUGCUCAAGAACAAAAUCAAGAGACUUCCUAUGCUCAAGCACAACUGCAAGAGACUUCAUACAAAUCAGAUAAGACUCUUAAGAUUCUAGAAUUUCUAAAAUAUGAAAGUUGAUAAGAAAUUCUAAGUGAACUUUGAUGUGAAACAUUUUUAGCAGAGUUUUGGCACUUGUAAAAUUGUUGUAAGUCUCUUAGAAAUCUUCAAGUCUUCACUCCUUUAUAUAGAGGUGUGAAAGAGACGUUGUUGAUUUCCAACACAUUAAAAGAGUCGUUAUUGAAGCUUGAUCAAAUUUCAAUUCCAUUCCAAGUAUAGAGGAAUACCAGCGUAGUCACAAUUGUUGUUCUUGUACUAUUGCAGACAGAAAACAGAGUAGUGGAGAAGGUGGUUGUACAAUUGUACUAUUGUCCUUUUCCAAUGUUCUUCAAGGGAUAAGCAUCCAAUGACUUCAAAUUCCUCUUAAUUAGUUGUUGCUCUAGACUUCUAUUCCUUCUGCAAUGAUAGGCAUGAUAAUAACAACUCUUGACAAAUAUUGAAGCUUCCAGUCUUUCAGCUUAUGAUCUUAAACUUCUAACGACGUCAGCUUCUGGUAGUCUCCAGCUUAUGAUAAAAGUGCUUCUGAUGAUGUCAUCUUCAGAACCUCUUUGUCUUCAAAACCUCUUUUCCUUCAGAUGGUUCCUUGCAACUCAAGCUUCCUUUUUUUAAAUUCCAUUGCUCUCAUUUGUUCUUCUAGAACCCAUGCUUCAUUUAAAGACACUCAAAUUUUUGUAUAUGGUCCUGCACACUUGAACAAAUAUUAUCAUAUCCAAUUGAAUUUUUUUAAUACCUUGUUAUCAUCAAAACUUAAAGGGUAAUGUUAAACACAUUUUGUUCCAACAUUUUUGACUCUUUUAGAAUGACUUUUUCUCUUUCCAAAAUUACCAUCAACUUUCAAUACAAAUAACACAUACAACAAGAAUUGUGUUAUUUGAACAUCCAUAUAUGCGACAACUUUUGUGACAACCAAAAUUUUACAAAGAAAAUGAAGUAGUGGCACAAAAACCAAAGCAAUAGAGAGAGAAAGUAAAAAGAUAAUGUGAGUAUGAGAGAGAAAGUUGUCACAAAAGUUGUAAAAAAUAGUUGUUCAAAUAUCAUUUCUCCAUACAACAAAUAGAUGAGAGUAAAUUCAAACAUUAAAAUAAAAUUGUAAUACACACGAUAUGAGUAUAUAUGUCCAGUUUUUUCCUUUAUCAUUUAAAAAAUGUAACAAACAAGAUGAGAAUAUCAGAGAGAUGAGAGAUAGUGACGUGAGACAAGAAAGACCUCUCCGUGGCCCGCCUUUGCUUGAACGGUGGUAACCGCACCAGAAUUUAUCUCCAUUUGAGAGAUACACUAGGGGGUAGGUAUGCAGCCUGGGUGGUAGAAAAUGGGGGGGGGGGGGGGGGGGGUAUGGGUGAUUGGUCUGUAGUUAGGUCACGAAAGAGGAAAGCGACGCAAUCGGAAGAUCGAGGAAGGGACAAGUCAAGGGUUUCAGAGCGACGCGGAGGCACGGUAAGGGUUAGAGGGAUCGCACAUAAUGAUUACGGGUUUGAUGGCAGAGAGGCGCGACAAUCAGCAAGGGCUCUUCAUGAUCAGCAAGGUUUGGGUCGUUAUCAGUUUGGAAACAACGAUUUGGCUUUCGACAGAUGCGGGUCUGAUGCUAUCAUGGGAAAAGGCUUCUUCGACGACAAACAUAACAAUGGUAGUAAAAUUACUUUCUAUUUUGCAAACAUUCCUGAUUAUAUGCCGUUGUUUCGUCUCCGUCAAUACUUUGAAGUGUGUGGUAUUUUGUCUGAUGUCUAUGUUGCCAGACAACUAAAUUCACGUGGUCAGGUCUAUGGCUUCGUUAGAUUUUUGAAUGUGAGGAACAAGGACAAAUUAGCACAAGAUUUGAAUAAUGUAUGGAUUGGUGACUUUAAGGUCUGGGCGCGUGAAGCAAAAUUUGAUAGGUUUGCACAAUAUGAUGAUGAUCAUAGGGUGUCUAUGCAUGGUGAUAGAAGGGAUGAGAAUGGAGGGGAGAGGAGGCCGGUGGUGAGAACUAAUGGUGAUGGAGUAAAAAAUAUGAGGAUGUGUAAUUUUAAAAAAAUAGGAGGGAUAAUAAAAAUAGUUGUUGGUCUCAUUUUAAAAAAAAAUAAAAAAAUUGUUUAUAUAUUUUUGUUAUAUUAUCGGUGUCAAUGAAAUGGAUAAUCAUGGUUAAUUUGAUUUGUUAUAAUUUGAAAGCAACACACAUUUAUAUCUUUAAUUUUAAUCAAAAUCAAAAUGUUAUAAAAAAUACUAUUGCUAAUUUUCAAAUGUUAACACAAUAAAAAGAGCAGAAAGACGGAGUGCCCGUCUUUUCACUAGUUAUAAUAAAAGAAAUUUUAUUUGAUGUAUUGAUAAUGAUACUGAAACUUUUUACACAUACAUCCAAACAUUAUUCAUGACAUCACUUUUAUACAAGUUCUAAAAUAUCGCUGUAACAAAAAGGUUAAAAAACAACUCAUGAAAUAUGUACAUGAUUUAAUUGAAUAUAUGUGUAAAAGAAAUUAUAUAUCAACAUCUAUAAAUUAAAUUUAUUAUUGAAAUGAAAUACUAGUAAAAAUGAUGGCCAGCAUUUAUGAAAAUAAAGGUCUAACUGAUCAUGGGCCAAUUUAAAUCAAAAGUAGAUUUGUGCCCUCUAAAGGGUACUAGAAUAUAAAAGAUGGACGGCAAACAAGGGACACAAAGAAUAGAGAUGCUCAAUUUAAAACACAACUUCGAUUUUUUUUUUAUUUACUAAAAAAUAACUUAGAUUGUUUAGAGAAGAUAGGAAUUCAAUUAGUCUGACAACAUAUUUUGGAAGUACAAUUAGUUUCACAAUUAACUAUUUUGAUAAUCCUCCUUAUUAAAAAAAAAUUAAUAUUCCAUUUCGUCAAAUAAAACAAAAAGUUAGGGAGUGAUGAGAGAUCUUAGUCAAUAUUGUUUUGCACCAUAAUAUUUUUGAGAGAUUGAUUUGGCAUUUACAUGCUUCCAACAAAUACAAUGUAACAAGUGCUUAUAAUUAUAUGAUAUCGUCUCUUAAUAUUGUGACAGCUGAUCACUUAAACACAAUUUGGAACAACGAGGUCCCUCUGAAAGUUAGUCAUUUUACAUGGAGUUUGCUCUGUAGCCGAUUACCAACAACAAAUAAUUUUAUCAGAAGGCACAUUCUUAAUCAUAAUGUUCAACUUUGUGUAGGCUUUUGUGGUAUAAUGUAAGAUAUAGACGAUCUAUUUCUCUCUUGUGAUUUUUUUGAAAUUUUUUAGAUUGGUAUCUAUAAUUGGCUCGGCUUUACUAUGGUACAUCCAGAACAUCCGAAUAACUUUUCAACUCAUAUGGUUAACUUGUGUUUGGGUGAUUUGAUGGGAAAGAAAUGCUUGAAGUUUUCGCAAUCAAGAAGAAUCGUUACAACAUCUUCUUGACAAAAUUAAGCUUCAAUCCUAUUAGUGGUUGAAAGCGAAUAGAAUUUUCGCUCAAUUUUAAUAAAGUGGAUACUAUAUGAGAUUUUCGCUCAAUUUUUUAUGAGUAUGGACUGCACUUGGCGUUAGUCAUUGAACUCAUUUUACGAGACUCAAGUUCCAACUUAAGCCAAAAACUGAAACCAAACAAAUGAAGUAAAAAACUCAAGUUCCAAACUAAUGCGUGAUUUUAGUCAAAACAAUGUUUAUUUUUUGACAGUAGUUAGUUUUGGAUUACAGCUAUAUCCCUACACCCCACAAACUAUACCCCUCUCACCAAUAGACAAAACAAAAGAGUAGGUGGAAGGGUACAUAAUUAAGAAAAAGUUAUGUGAAAAACAAUAUUUUCUAUAGCCAAAACCAAAAGAUAUAUAUUGCAUUAUUGCAUAUAUACCAAUAAAAGAAGUACUGUGAAAUACAAGAUAAUGGCAUUAGAUUAGAAAUGGCCAAUUUGAUCUGUCUAUUUUUAAUCAUAUUAUUUAGAUUUGUUCAAUCUUUUACCAAAUCUUAUUUAGUUAUGCAAAAAGCAACACCUCUCGUUGAAAGAUAAUAAUAACGAUUUUUGGCAUAUGUUACUAAUAUUGAUUGAAAAAUGUUACCAAAUGAUGCAACUUCCCAACUCCAAUCCACUCAUAAUUUCAAACUUCGCUACCAUAUGAAAACAAAAUCACAGGUAGAAAUGUGUUGGAAAUCCUCAACAACUAUUGACUUUUGGUACAAAAGAGUGCCAAGUCAUUACUAAUUCAAGAUUGAGACAUGCAGCUGUGAGUGGAUUCACUAAGAUCACGACUAGUAUAAAAGGAGCUGGUCACACUUGUAUUUUAUGCACCAAAUUAUAAGUCACUAACAUGGCUUCCUCAAACUUUCUAAUGAUGCUCCUCUUUGCUCUCUUUGUCAUCCCUAAGGGGUUUGCCAACUACGAGAAACCUCCAGAGUAUCAUCCACCAGUUGAAAAUCCCCCAUUUUAUAAACCACCGGUAGAGAAACCACCUGUGUAUAAACCACCAAUAGAGCAACCUCCAAUUUAUAAGCCACCUGUAGAAAAUCCUCCAAUUUAUAAACCACCAGUAGAGAAACCACCCGUGUAUAAACCACCGUUUGAGAAACCUCCAAUCUACCAUCCACCAGUAGAGAUACCACCAGUGUACAACCCACCAGUUGAACAUCCUCCAAUUUACAAGCCUCCUGUAUACAAACCACCAGUAGAGCAACCUCCCGUCUAUAAGCCACCAGUAGAGAAGCCUCCAAUUUACAAGCCACCAGUAGAGAAACCUCCUGUUUACCAACCUCCUGUUUACAAGCCCCCAGUUGAGAAACCUCCAGUGUACAAGCCACCUGUAGAAAAGCCACCAGUGUACAAGCCACCUGUAGAAAAGCCACCAGUGUACAAGCCACCUGUAGAAAAGCCUCCUAUAUACAAACCACCAGUAGAGAAACCACCAGUGUACAAACCACCCGUUGAGAAACCCCCGGUUUAUAAGCCACCAGUAGAGAAACCACCUGUGUACAAGCCACCAGUUGAGAAGCCCCCAAUUUACAAGCCACCAGUAGAGAAACCACCUGUAUACAAGCCACCAGUUGAGAAGCCUCCAGCUUACAAGCCACCAGUUGAGAAGCCACCUGUAGAGAAACCACCAGUGUACAAGCCACCGGUUGAGAAGCCCCCAAUUUACAAACCACCAGUUGAGAAGCCUCCAGUGUACAAGCCACCGGUUGAGAAACCACCUGUCUACAAGCCACCUGUAGAAAAUCCACCUGUUUACAAGCCACCAUUUGAGAAACCUCCAAUUUAUAAACCGCCAAUAGAGUAUCCACCCGUGUACAAGCCCCCUUUUGAGAAACCCCCCAUCUACAAGCCACCUGUAGAGAAACCUCCUUUUUACAAGCCUCCGUUUGAGAAUCCACCAUUUUAUAUACCUCCAGUUGAGGAGCCUCCUGUUUACAAGCCUCCAUUCGAGAAGCCACCAAUUUACACUCCUCCAUUCUAGAGCCCACCUUACCACCCAAAGUUCCCUCGGGCAGGCGAUGGUACUCGUUAAUAGAACAUGCUAUGAAGAAAAUAUGUUAAAUAAGAGAUAUAUAGAGUUUUUUAUUUAAUCAAGGAAUAUAUAUAUUCAUGUAAUCUUCAUUUCAAUACUUUGUUUACAAUACUCUUGCUAUGAUAAGAAUAUGAGUGAAAAACAGAGAAAGAAAAUAGUGUGCUUUUCUAUUCGAAAUUAUGAAUAAGAUUUCUAUGAUUUAGAUGUUGUGUUGGUUGACUAAAUCGUGAUACAUCGACAGAGGCAGAGCCCCUCAUGCGCCAAGGUGGGUCAUGGCCCACCCCCAAAUUUUGUUUCUUAUUAUAUAUAUAUUAUGUUUUGUAAAUUUUUGAUGUUUUUGUAGCAUGUUGUAGUGGUUAAGAGCCUUUUUGCCAAGUCGUAUGUGCUAGGUUCAACUCUUGCCAAAACCAUUUUUAUUUAUUCUUUUAUUUUCUUUUGUAUAAAAAAAAAACAUAAUUCAUAAUUGUUAAAAUAAUCCUUUUUUUUGUUACUUAAUCCUUUCUUUCUUUAAUAAAACAUAACUCCUUUAUUCGAUUUAAAAUAAUCUUUCCUUUCCUUACUCUUAUUUUUGGAUACAAUUGUCUCUUUACUCUUUUAUUUUAAUUUUUUUUUUAUACAAAGGGGACUUCAACUCUUUUUUGUCAAAAAACAUUCUCUUUUAAAACAUAUAACAUAUUUUUUAUACUUAGUCGUUUGAUUCAAUUCGAUUUUAUACCUAUACAUCUGUUUAUUGAAGUCGAGUCAUUUAAUUCAGUCGUUAGGUUCAAUGGCCUAGUUGUUCGAUCAAUUAUCUUGAACUUUAUCAAGGUUGAUAAACAGUUCAUAUUUUAAAAUACCGGUUUAAAUUAUAUUCAACAAAUAACAAAUUUAUAGUCAUUGGAACCAACCAAUAAUAAAAUGUACUUGUAAGAAAAUAAAGCCUCAUCACUAUUUAUGGCCCACCCUAUACUUUUUUCCUAGCUCCGCCACUUUACAUCUUCGUAUUCUUUAGGAAGUUUCAACCUUGUUGACUAUGACAACAGUGACGACUAUAACGAGACUCGCUAUUGACUAUGACAACAGUGACGACUAUAACGAGACUCCCUACUUUUUGGUUUGCUUCAACAGGUUCUCAACAUAAAUAACUAACCAAGUUAAUUUGCCUGUGAAAUGUGAUAUUAGUAAGGUGCAUGAAGGUUAAGUUCUUUAGCAAAGCUUAGUAUCUUGAAUUAAAGAAUAUCGUUAAUUAAACUAAAUAUUCAUAUUAGGUAUCACAAUUUUCAAGACUUUAUAUGUACGUGUUGAUCCAUUAAUUAAGAGAAAUUAGACUUUAGACCCGUGCGUCGCACGGGUCAUUUCGACUAAUAUAUAAUAAUAAGUAAUGGUAAAAAAAAUUCUAAAAUAAAUAAAAGAUGAAGAGUAUUAUACAUUUUACUUACUCAAGUUCAAAAAAUAAAGUAGGAGAUGACAUGAAAUCGUUUAGUUGAAACAAACGAAUAUUAAAAAAUAAAAAUUAGACAACGACAGGGAUCUAAAAUUCUAUUUCUAAUCCUUCACAUAUCAAAAUUACAAUUGGUUCUCUUCAUUGUAAUCAUCUAAACUUAAUUAAAAAAUUUACAAGUGCAAAUAGAAUCGACAUUAUACAAGUCACUACUUGAUUCCAAAAACCUAUGUUUCAUGAAAACCACUCAUACCUAAAUAACAAUAAUAAACCUUCAAAACAAAAAUCAACUAUUCUCAAAGGACCCAAAAGAAAGAUUUUUAGCCUUCUAAAUCACAAUUUCUCUUGUUGUAUUGUUUUUGUGUCAAAAGCACCAUAAGUUGAAUAGUAGGCUCAGACACAUGACUUUCCUCAUAAGACAAAAUCACCAGUUUUUUAUAGGUUGAAAAAAUAAAUCAAAUAUCCUUAACUUUCAAUAACGCUUAGAAACAACUGAAACUUUUGCAUUAUCUCAAUCCACAAACAAAAUUGAAGACCUUUAUAUUUGCUUUAGGCACCUUAAGGAAUUCUAUGUAAAUUGUUUUCCUGCAAUGAAAUGCUAAACACAAUGAGCAAAGAAGAAGAAUUAACAACAAUAUUUGGAUUGUUUUAUUUAGCUUACAAUUCUUUAAACUAAUCAANAACACAAUGAGCAAAGAAGAAGAAUUAACAACAAUAUUUGGAUUGUUUUAUUUAGCUUACAAUUCUUUAAACUAAUCAACAAAAAAUUAAAUUUGCAUUAUAUCCUCCACAAUAUCAAGAAUUUUUCAAAGGGAUCAUUCUAUUUGUAUGGCUAUGAUGAGAACUCAUGUGUGUCCAUGAAGACCAGCUCUACGGAUAACCAUGUUCAUAUUAACUAUUUUAGGAGUGAAAAUAGGAUUGGAUUGGAUUUAGUAGUGAGCUGUUGUUUUUGAUUUCAGAAGCAUUUGAAAAUAACAUUUUGAUUAAAUGGAAAUAAUAGGAAGAAUUUGUUAAUAAAAGUGAUUUUUUUUUUUUUUUUUAUGUUGAUCUUUUUAUUGUUGUGUUAGAAACAAAAUAGGACGAAAUUGUAUUUUUUUUUUUAUGUUUAUCUUUUUAUUGUUGUGUUGGAAACAAAAUAGGAGGAAAUUGUUAUAGGAAUAGGAGGAACGAUUUUUAAAGUUUAUCUCUUAAUUAAACAGGUUUAAUUGAACACGGGGGUAAUAACGUAAAAGUCAUCAUAAAAUCUAGGUUAAAAUUAGGUUAAAAAUUGGCUUACGGGUUAACUUUUAUAUAUAAAGAAGUCAAGAGAAUCUAGAUCUGUGAAGCCCCGAUACUUCAAAAUGGAUGAUGUAUCGUAUCCGCUGCGUAUUCUGUAUCGAUACCUGCCCGAUACUUCUCAAAUUUAUGAGUUUUAUUUGAUUCUUCGAAUUCGAAUUUUGAGAAUUUUAGGGUUUGAAGGUUGGUGAUGGAGGUGAAUCUGAGUUUAUAUUAAGAAUUGAUGAAGAAUUUAAGGAGAGUGCAGUGAUGGAUAGGUAACUGAGUAUGAAUUGGUAUGCAGUUUGGAAAAACAAAACAAGAGGCAGUAGCAGCACCCCCACCCUUCCUCUACUUCUUCGACAAUAUGAGUGUUAGAUUCAUUUUCCUAGGUGUGAUUUUGAGGCAGAUGAAUAUGUGUGAGAGAUUGUAGAGGAAGAUCUCAGAUAUAGCUUUUAGGGAUGAACAUGAAUGAAUGAAUUUGUAGAUGAAGAUGAAUGUUGUUUGAACAUUUAAUUAAGAAAUUUUUAAUUGUUUUUUGUUUUAAUAUUUGAAAUUAUUAAAUUGUAUUUUGAAAUUCAAAAAACCUGUUUUAAUGACAUGUAAAUGACAUUUUCCAAAUUGGCAAUGCCACAUAGGCAAAAUUUUACCACCUGUGCAUUUUUGGAUGUGAAAAUAGGGGGUAAGACUAAAACUGCAACAAAAAUGAUAAUUGAAAAACAAUUUUAAUCUGUUUUAAAAGGGCAGGACCAAUUUCCUGAGUAGGCCACAACACGAGGACCAAAAGUGUAAUUAAGCCUUAUAUUUAUGUUGAUGUGCUACAAGCUUAUGACUGGUUUCUUUUGUUUGAUAAUAUAUUUGCAUAUUAAAUAAAAUGGUUAUAAUUAUAUUCUACAUUUAAUUAUAUAAUUUUUUUAUUGACGUAUCCCAACCAUAUCGUAUCUUGAUUUUUGAAAUUUUUUCGUAUUGACGUAUCGGUGCAGUAUCGUAUCUCGUAUUCGGGCUUCAUAGAUCUAGACUAUUAAUUUUUUUGAUAAACAAGAUUAUUAUUAUUUUUUGACAAAAACAAAGUGAGAUUCAUUCAUUCAAAUUGAUAGAGUACAUCAGAUACAAACAUUGCUAAAAACGUAAAGGAUAAAUCUAUGAACAAACUCACAACACUAAAGUUCAUACAACAGCAAAAUGUCUACAAAUAAUAUGAUAAAAUCUAAGUCACCAAAAUAUUCAUGCUUCCGGGUAUGCAACGUUGGCGCCCAAAUCAUUGAUUGAAUUUGUAAUUGACUAAUGUCGAUCUUUCAACAUGAACUAAACGAACACCGCGUCAAGACGCGAAAUCAAACAUCACAUAAGACCACUAACAACACAAUGCCACAAUUAGAUGACGAAAUCACAAAAACUCAAAAGGGAAAACUUGAUAUAUGUGAAAACCAUUUGUUUAGAUCGAAAGAAAAGAGAAAAAACGAUGUAGAGGGGUGAUUUUAGGUCAAAAAUGACCUAAAACCAGUUCUUUUUAAUAAACGAAGGAGAAAGAAUGUUUAGAGAGAAGUUGGAGUUUUUUUUUACUUAAAAAAUUAGGAUAAGCAAAAUUAUUAUAGAGGGAUAAAGGGCUCCCCAACCCAUAUACAAAAUGAUGGUUGCAAUGCCAUGUAGAAAAUAAAAAGAUAACAUUGCCUUUCUUUUUACAAUUAAACUAGUUACAAACCCGUGCGUUGCACGGGUUUAAUAACGUAUUUUAUAAAAAAAAAAUCUUUUAAAAGAAAAAUGAGCAAAUUAAUGAAUAUUGCACAAACAUUAUAAAUCUUUAUCAAAAUAUUUAUGAAAGCUUUAUCAAGUCUUUAAUACACAUUAAUAUUUGUGAUGAUUGAUAAAAGAAUUAAAAAGAGUAAAGGGUAUAGAAAUAAAUUUAUUAAAGAAUUAACAAUUUGUUUAAACUUAUUUUUGUUACAAUUUAGACCAAAAAAAAUAUUGGACUUCAUUGAGUUUCUCUAUAAUUUUUUUAUCAGGCUUGAAGUUAUGACUCUGAGUUUGAAAACCGCAAAAUUCACAAAAAUUAUUGAAGAAACACUAUAAACAAAUAAACGGCAUCGUCAAAAAUGAAAUCAUAUUUGGCUAUAGUGAUCAAGCAAACAAAAAAAAAGAAGCAUAUUAAAUACCUAUAAUCAAUGGAUUCUAAUUGCAUAGAGGCGACACUUAUACUUUCUCUAUGUUUGUUCAUCAAUGAGAGUGAUUAUUUUGCGCUUUCCUUUCAGAAUUGUUCUUGACACCUAGUUUGGGAAAUGCUAAACAGGGAAAUAACUGUAAUAUUAAUCUAAUGCAUAUUAACAUGGAUAAGAUGUAUGCGAAUAUAGUUAUAUAUAACUUAUGAAAUGAAGGUAACAUAACUGAUUUUAAGCUAAAGAAAAUGUACCAUGACUUCUAAUUUAUCUUUCUAUUAUCUUCCUAUAAAGUCUAGAGAAAUGCAUGCAUGUGCAUUAUAUGUACCCCGUUGACCAAUUAACAUUUUUGAAACAAAUGAAAAUUAAGCAUCACUCCCGCAUGUGCAUCUAUAGCUAACACCAUUUGACAUUGAUGUCUUCGAACAUUUGGUGCAACUCUCAUAAUACCAUCCAAACUGGUUAGGAUUGAAUUUAGUUGUUUUUCCAAAUAGUGAUGGAGUAUGUAUCCUAACACAAAUUAUGCACGUGAAAUAAAGAAUAGUGCAAUAUGCAUUUUUAAUUUGUGCGUAAAAAAAUUCAAAGCAUGUUUGUGAAAAAAAAAAAAAAAAACAGACCUUGACUAAGUUUAUAGAUUCAUCAAUUGGCCUAACUUGAGACAGAUUGGAAAAAUCGUUCUACGAAGUACUUUUUAAACUUUACUUUUUAAUCUAUCUGAGCUUGAGAAGUGUUAAGUUCACGACAACAAUUCAAGAAACAUGGUCAAUAAACAAUCAAAUCAGAUUGUGAAAUAAUAAGUUACUCUAACACUGUAUUGUGAAAUCAUAAUGCAAACUUACUAAGUCUUAAACUUUUCAACAACCGGAUGAUGUAGGUUGAUGAGCAGCCUCGAACCUGACCAAUUGUUACAUCUAUUUGCGUUGUCAUUGACUACAAAAUAGAAGCAAAGAAUUCAAGGUAAAUAAAUGGUAAAUGAUAAAGCUACAAAGUAUUUUACCCAUAAUGUUACAUCAACUAUAUUCCCAAUGCUCUAAAUCUCUAUAUCGAGUUAUUACAUGAACUCGAUCACCCUAAAUCCGAGAAAGAAACCAAAAAAUAUAAAUAAAUCAAAAUGUAUACUAAUAAGUAACAUUGAUAAAUCAUAAAAGAAAUUACUACAAAUCUUAACUAACUUAUCUAACCUUUGCAUCACAAAUAAUGAGCUUCAUAUGUUGAUUCUCAUUACUACCAGUCACAAUUCAAGAAUCCAGUACUCCAAAUCCUAUUUUCCAAACGUCUAAAUCAUUUUUGAGAUACUUAAUGUAGUCAUAAUCCCUUGACAUUGAAAUUCAUAUAUAGAAAUACAAUAAUACAUCAUUUAAUUUUAUUCCCUUUGUUCAUUCUGAUAUCGAAAGAAGCUAACAUAUUUCUAUGUGAUCAAUUUUUGUAUCAUCAAAUUAACCUGAUCUUAAAUGUACAAAUUUCUAUCAUCAACUUUCUGGACCCCAAUGAUAUGAUCAAAACAAAUUUACACCAAUCAACUUUUUGCACGGCUCAAUGAUAUACGAAAGAAUAAAUAAAAUAUGAAAACUGUUACAGCUUUAGGAUUACUCACAAAAACUAAAAUAAUUGAAAUGCAUCAAUUAUUUUCAACUCCUGUACCAGAAGCUAAAAUAACAAUUGUGUCAAAACCUUACCAUCAGUUAAAAUUCAGUCAUCAUGACCUCUACUAUACUCCACAUAACAAAAGACGAUUUUUCUACAGCCAUGCAACAUAACAAAUUUUGGUACAUAAUCCAAUAACAAUUGGAAAAAAAAAAAAAAAACCCUUAAAAUGCAUAAUCAUGAAAAAAGGAAGAAAACCAUCUAUGAUGAAGCAAAAACUAAAACGGUGUCGAAAAAUGAAGCCCUUAAGCCAUAAAAAUCAGUCAACUCAAGUCAUGCAUGGUCUCAGAACCAUGAAAAAAGAUAGAAAAUGACCUUUUUUUUUUUUGUGGUGGCCGGGGUUUGAACUCCGGACCUUGCAUAUUUUAUGCAUUGUCCUACCAACUAAGCUAAGCUCACGAGGACGAAGAAAAUGACCUCUUAUGAAGAAGAAAGUGAAACAGUGUUCCCGACUGAACUUAGAUACCGUUUGGUCAAGGUUUUUUACAUUAUAAAAGUUACUUCAAAACAAAGUAAAAAUAAAGGCCUUUAUGAAAGAAACUAAAGUUAUUUGGUUUUUUUGUUUUGUUAGUUUUAAAGCUAUUUAAGUUUAAUGUUGUUUGGCAAAAUAUUGUACAAACUUUGAAUUUAUUAUUUUUUAUAUGGUGUCUGGGGUUCGAACUCCGGACUUGGCAUGUAUUUAUGCAUUGUUCCUAUCAACUGAGCUAAACUCAUGAGGACAAAACUUUGAAUUUAUUAUUAAUUAACAUAAUAAAUAAAUAAAAUGUUUAGAAUAAUUUAUGAAGGCUAAAAAUGUUAAAAAAAUAAAAGAUAUUUUUUUUACAAAUACGAUAUUUACUCAAUAACGUUUAUUUUGUGUAACAUGAAUACAAAUUAAUAUCAUCAUAUAAAUAACUUGUUAAAUAUUUGAAUAGGAGAAACAAUUUAAGGAGUCUGGAAUAAUAAUAUAAAUAAUAUCAAAAUAUUUGAUUUUUUCUAUUUCAAUUAUACUCUAUAACAAAUUUCGUUAUAAGAAUACCAUAUUUUUUGUGUCUUUCAAAAAGAUAAGAAUUUAUAUUAUAUGAUAUUAUAUUUGUUACAUUGUUGGUGUCAUGGAAACAGAUAUGUUUAAUUUUUUUGAACAUGAAAAUGAUAUGCAUAGUUUGUUACGAUAUAAAGGUGCAAUAUAUAUAUAUAUAUACACCUUUUUAGGCAUCUAUACCUUUUUUUGAAGAAAAGACAUCUACAAUUUUACUUUUAAUUAAAAUUUAAAUUUUAUAAAAAUAAUCAUACGCAUUAUGCAACGCUAAAAAAAAUUAUACACAUUAGCGUAACAAAAAAACAGACACACAUAAAGAAUUACUCUAAACGCUAAUGUGUAUGUGCGUAUAUAUUUGCGAGGUUGAAGAAAGAAAAUACAAAUAUUUGAUAUCAUUAAAUGACAGCGUGAAUAAAAAUAUUUGUGAAGUUGUGAUGAUUAAACGAUAUUGAAAUUAUAAGUGAUAAAAAGAUAAUAAAAUUCCUUUGAAAAAAAGGUAAUAAAAUUAAAUGGAACCUCCUUAAAAAAAAUUAAAUUGAACGCUUCAAAUUAAAUGGAAGAAAAAAAUAUAUUGAAGUAUAAUAUUAAAAAAUAAAAAAAAAGGUUCCCAACGUGAAUUGAAGAGAGAUGCUUGUGAAAUAAAUUGUCGAGAAGUAGUUUUUUGAAGAAGCAUUCAACAACUUUUGGUCAAAGUUCAUUGCAUUCAAUUUUAUGCAUUAAAAAAGGUACAUUUUUUAGAAAGUACUUAAUUGAUAUUGUAUUUGACCUAACUUCUCCUUAAAAAUAUAGGGAAGUUGAAAAAAAAAACCGGGUCAAACGGUAUCUUAAUUUCCCACAACGGCAGUGUAGAAACAACUGAAUUUGGGAGAAAAAAAUUGGAAAAUAGUUAAAAAUAAAAAAAAUUGAAAAAUAGUUAAAAAAAAUCGGUGAGGUAGCACCUAACCAAACAACACUAAAAAAAAUUAUAUGCAUCAGCGUAACAAAAAAACAGACAGACGGACAUAAAAUAUUACUCUAAACGUUAAUGUGUGUGUAUAUAUUCGCGAGGUUGAAGAAAGGAAAUAAAAAUAUUUGGUAUCAUUAAAUGACAGCGUGAAUAAAAAUAUUUGUGAGGUUGUGAUGAUUAAACAAUAUUGAAAUUAAAAUAAUUAAUAUUGUGUUUGACCCAACUUCUCCUUAAAAAUUUAGAGAAGUUGGAAAAAAGUCGGGUCAAGCGAUACCUUAAUCUCCCACAACGGUAAUGUAGAAGCCACUGAAUUUGGGAGAAAAAAUUGGAAAAUAGUUAAAACUAAAAAAUAAAAAAAUCGGUGAGGUAGCACCCAACCAAGCAACACCAAAAAAAAAUUAUAUGCAUUAUCGUAACAAAAAAAUAGACAAACAGACAUAUAAUAUUACUCGAAACAUUAAUGUGUGUGUAUAUUCGCGAGGUUGAAGAAAGGAAAUAAAAAUAUUUGAUAUCAUUAAAUGACAACGUGAAUAAAUAUAUCUGUGAGGUUGUGAUGAUUAAAUAAUAUUUAAAUUAAAAUAAUUGAUAUUGUGUUUGACCUAACUUCUCCUUAAAAAUGUAGAGAAUUUGGAAAAAAGCCGGGUCAAACGAUACCUUAGUCUCCCACAACGGCAAUGUAGAAGCAACUGAAUUUGGGAGAAAAAAUUGAAAAAUAGUUAAAAACAUAAAAAUUGGAAAAUAGUUAAAAGUUAUUAAAAAUUAGAAAAUAAUUUAAAAAAUUGGUGAGGGGCAAAAUGGGAAAUUUGGCAUAAAAAAGAUGAGGUGGCACCAAACCAAACCCACCAAUUAGAAAAUUACUUAAAUGCCCAUUCCAGGGACAAAAUGGGAAUUUCAUAUGGCAUCAAUUUUAAUAGAGUAUAUAGACCACUCACAUUACACAAAUGUUGAAAUAUAUGAUGCAUAUUACUUUUUAAAUUUUUGGUUUAUAGUUGCAUUUUUUUUAGGGUUAAUAGUGUUUUUCACCCUUGUAAUAUAUGUCAUUUUCGGUUUUCGACCCUAUAAAAUUUUUAGUUUUAUUUUAACCCUCGUAAAAUUUUUAUUUUCCGGAAAAGACCCUUAAUAGGCCAUUCAAAAACCAAAAUUUCUUGAAAAAAAUUCUGAAAAUGGCCUAUUAGGGGUCUUUUCCGGAAAAUAAAAAUUAUACGAGGGACCACCUGUUGAGAAACCACCUGUACACAAGCCACCAGUUGAGAAGCUACCUGUUUACAAGCCACCUGUAGAGAAACCUCCGGUGUACAAGCCACCUGUUGAGAAGCCCCCAGUUUACAAAC